UUUUUCUUCUUCUUCUUCAUUUUUCUUUUUCUUUUUUUUUUACCUGUUGAUCAAAUGACGGAUUGGAUGAAUCAGCUCGACGAUUCCUCCACCUUUCUGCGGCUCGGCGAUCUCUCCUCCUUUUCGCGGCUCGGCGAUUUCUCCUCCUUUCCGCGGCUCGGCGAUCCUCCUCCUUUCCACGGCUCGGUGAUAUCUCCUUUUUUUUGAAGUUUUUGUAUGUCGGAACGAGUGUAGCAAUCUAUCUAUUUUUUUUUUGUUUUUGUCUAUCGUAUCGUAUUCGUAAAAAAAUUCUCCCAUGUUUGAUUUCGGUUCUCGUAUUUAUAAUGGGAGGGGUGGUGAGAGAUAUUUUGAGGGAUUCUAAAUUCGAAUUUAAAUUUUGAAUAGGUUGUUGGAUGGUUGGAGGAUUUUUGGGAAUUGGUUGGAGAUUCGAAAUUCGAAAUCGAAUUUUGAAUCGGUUGUUGGAUGGUUGAAGGAUAUUUUGGAGAGUCGGUUAGGGAUUCAAAAUUCAAAAUCGAAUUUUGAAUCGGUUGUUAGGUAGUUAGGUAUUCAAAAUUCGAAUGGAUGUUGGUUGGGGAUUCGAAAUUCAAAAUUGAAUUUUGAAUGGGUUGUGGGAUGGAUAGGUAUUCAAAAUUCAAAUGAAUGUUGGUUGAGAGAUAUUUUGGGAGUUGGUUCGAAGUUCGAAAUCGAAUUUCGAAUAGGGUUAUUAGGAUAACAGAUAUUUUCUUGGGGUUUAAAAAUUUAAAAUCGAAUUUGAAUAUGAUAUUCGAAAUUGAAUUUUCAAACGUGGGUGAAAAUGUGGGCCGUGAUCCCAUGAAUUGAGCUAAAAUUGGGUCCACUUUGAUAAAACUUGUUGGCACAAUUAUUCAUUGGACUGAGAUGAGGCCCGAAUUAUUGUAUAGGCCUAAAAUUUUAAAGGGCUUUCAUGAGGCCUAUUAAUUCACAUUUAUGAAUGGGCCUAUUGUAUAUUUAAACUAUAAUUAUUGGCCCAAAAAAAUUAAUGGUAUGAGUCCGAAUUUAAUCAAUUUUGAUUAGGACUACUUACCUCAAAUUUUCUUUUUACUUCAAACAAAUUUCUUCGGACCCCAAAUCAGAACUAAACGGGGAUUUCUUCGGACCCCAAAUCAAAAUCAAAACGGAAAUUUCUUUGGACUCCAAAUCAAAUCCAAUUGGAGAAUCAAACGGGAUUUCUUCGGACCCCAAAUUAAAAUCAAAACAAGGAUUUCUUCGGACCCCAAAUCAAAUCCAAUUGGAGAAUCAAACGGGGAUUUCUUCGGACCCCAAAUCAAAUUGGAAAAUCAAAACGGGGAUUUCUUCGGACUCCAAAUCUAAAUCAAAUUGGAAAAUCAAAAGGGGAUUUCUUCGGACCCCAAAUCCAAGUCAAAUUGAAAAAUCAAAAGGGAAUUUCUUCGGAUCCCAAAUCAAACCAAAUCAAGAUCAAAAGGGGAUUUCUUCGGACCCCAAAUCAAACCAAAAUUGCAAAACCAAAAAAGGAUUGCCUCGAACCCGAAAUAGAAUUGAAAAGAAAACCAAACCAAAUUCGAAUCAAGUCCACAUACAAACCAAAUCCGAAUCAAGUCCAUAUCCAAACCAAAUCCGAACCAAGUCCACAAAUAAAGCCCAAAACCAAAACCCAAAUAAAACCCAAACCCAAAACCCAAAUAAAACCCAAACCCAAAGUCCAAAUAAAAAACCCAAAACCAAAUACAGUCCACAAAUAAACCCAAACCCAAAACCCAAAACCCAAAUCAAAUCCAAACCCAAAACCAAAUAUAGUCCACAAAUAAAUCCAAAUCCAAAACCCAAAUCAAAUCCAAACCCAAACCCAAAUCAAGUCUACAUCCAAACCUAACCCAAACCAAGUCCACAAAAAGAACCGAAACUCAUUCUACAAAUAAAAUCCAAACCCAACCCAAACCAAGUCUAUAAAUAAAACCAAAAUCCAAACCAAAACCCGAACCCAAAACCAAAACCCAAACCCAACCCAAACCAAGUCUAUAAAUAAAACCAAAAUCCAAACCGAAACCCAACCCAAACUAAGUCUCAUGAACCAAAACUAAUAAACUAAGUUCAUUGACCACGAACCAUAUCCAUGAACCUUACCCAAGUUCGUGAACCAAACACCACGGAUCAUAACCCAAGUUCAUGAAUCAGGGCCCAUGAACCAAAAUAAACCAAGUUCAUGAACCAUGAACCAAGUCCAUGAACCAUAUCCAAGUUCAUGAACCAAAUCCCAUAUACCCAACUUUAUAAGCCAUAAACCAAGUUCAUAAAUCAUGAAUCCAGUCCAUAAACCAAGAUUCAUGAGCGAAGUUCAAAAACCUCACCCAUGAACCAUAUCGAAGUUCAUGAACCAUAUCCAAUAUACCCAACUUUAUAAACUAUAAACCAAGUUCAUGAAUCAUGAAUCAAGUCCAUAAACCAAGAUUCAUGAGCCAAGUUCAUAAACCUCACCUAUGAACCAUAUCUAUGUUCAUGAAUCAUAUCCAAUAUACCCAACUUCAUAAACCAUAAACAAAGUUCAUGAAUCAUGAAUCAAGCCCAUAAAUCAAGAUUCAUACACCAAACCUUAUGAACCAUACACCAUGAAUCAUAAACCAUACACCAUAAUCCAUAAACCAAGAUCAUAUACCCAACCUCAUGACCCAUACACCAAGUUCAUGAAUCAUAAACCAAGUUCAUGAACCAUACCUUAUGAACCCAUGAACCAUACAUCAAGUUCAUAAAUCUCAUCCAUGAACCAUAUCCAAGUUCAUGAACCAAAUCCCAUACACCAAACCUCAUGAACCAUAUACCAAAUCCUAUGAGCCAUGCACCAAACUAUAUCCAAAUCUCAUGAACCACAUGAACUAUAUCUUAACCUCAUAUACCCAAAUCUCAUGAACCAAUACCCAAAUCUCAUGAACCAAUACCCAAAUCUCAUGCCCAAAGUUCAUCAUGAACUUUUUCUUUACUCUAGUAUAUAUAACUAGAGUAAAAAUCGAAUAUCGACUACCCCUGAUACAUAUACUUAGGGCUAAGUCAAUUGCCUUAGCAUAUAUAACUAAGGCAAAUCAUCUCCAAAUCGACAGAAUUCUAAAUCAUAUAUUUAGAAUUCAGUCAAAUGAUAUCAAGUUCAUUCAAACUCUAACACAUAUACUUAGAGUUCAUCCGACUAACCCUAAUACAUACCUUUAGGGUCUAGUCAACCUUUUACUCUAGCACAUAUACCUAGAGUGGAAGUCAAAUCAAGCUCGACUAGUCCUAACCCAUAUACUUAGAGUCUAGUCAGCCUUUUGCUCUAGCACAUCUACCUAGAGUGAAAUCCAUACCCGAUUGAGCUCUAAUACAUAUACUUAGAGCUCAUGCAAAUCAAAUUCGACGAAGCCUAACAUAAUACCUCAGGGCUUAGUCAGAUCUUCACUCUAGCACAUAUAACUAGAGUGAAAAAUAUAUUAAACUCGGUUAAUCCUGAUACAUACACUCAGGAAUUAGCCAUUCUCUACUUUUGGGUAAUAUCAAAUUCGACCCACCUCAAAACAUAUACUUGGGGUCGGGUCACAUCUCCACCUUGGAAUAUACAACCAAGGUGAAUCUAAUCAGACUCUAAGACAUAUACUUAGAGCCAAUAGACUCUAAUACAUAGAGUUUAAUAUCGACUAGGUCUUAACACAUAUACUUAGGACCUAAUCAAUCUCAAAUCCAACUGAAUCCUAAUACAUAUACUUAGGAUUCAAUAAACCAAGAUACGAUUCAUCUCAUCCCAUCUAUAAAGGUCUCUUAAUCGAAGGUGCCCCAAUCCACGGGGGUAAUUAACAGUAGAUGCUUGCAUCUAUUGAAAGCCAUGGACCCGCGAUACCUAAUACCCACAUACAUAUAAAUACUCAUCUGAAUCAUUAAUACUACCCCACGGCCUAAAUCCAUCGACCGUGCGAGGUGCGUCAUUCGUGGUAGCAGACAACACAGUGUUGUGAGUGAUACUAUCAAGUAUACUACAUGUCCAAAUGCCCAAUACUAUGCUAUAAGCAUGUCCAAGUAAUCCAACUACCAAAGCCUAUCUAGUAGUGAUUGUAAUUGACCGGUUCAAUGUCAUAUUAUGGUUUUAAUUUCAAUGCUCAAUCUUAAUCAGGACCUACACGAGUGUAGUCCGGCUUGUGCCGCCUAAUGGCCCCGAGUAGUCCAGCAUUCACUAGGAAUGUGACUGUCCCUCGGUAACCCAGUAGGCUCUUAAACCCGUACCGGCGAGCAUAUGUCACGUAGGCCAACUCCGGAGUGCCGGUUUGUAGGGAGCAACCCUCACAAGCAUGUGCAAAUGAGCACAAAUGGCAAGCAAGCAUGGUAAUCAUCUCAAGAACCCGAACAUCAUGUCUCUAAUAUAGUAAUUGUAAGGAAGUGAAUUCUUGAAAUCCGAGGAUUGUACUUCAUCCAGGAUCGACUAAUUGUCGAGAGAAUACCCUUUGUGGGAGUUAAAAAUAUCUAAAACACAAAAAGUGCUUUAGAAACGCUAAAUAGCAUUGCAUGAAUGUCGGGAACAAAUGAUUCCGCAAGAGAUGUUGACCCUAGUUGUAAGGCAUCCUCACAUGGAGAGGAUUUGAUUGGGUUGUGGACCCUAGUGAUAGUGCUCCCUCACUUGGAGAGGAUUCGAUUGGGUAUUAACCCUAGAUGCAGGGCAUCCUCACUUGGAGAGGAUAGAUCUAGCUCACAGUCUGCGUUUGGGAUGGUAUAGCCAUCCAAUCCCCACAUGGAGGGGAUUGUCGUCGAGUACUCCGGAGUGUCGCGCGACUAGGACCACUUGGAGGUCCGGACCACAUGGAGGUCCGCAGACGGUCCCGGGCUUGGGUGCACUUGGAGCUCCCUCCCCACUUUGAGAUUGAAAGGUGAGUUAUAGGCGAGCCCCAGGGCUUCGCCACAGAUUGGGUAAAUGGAAAGGUAAAGGUUUAAUAAUGUCAUUGAACAUUGCUAUUCGAACAUGGAUCGAAUUUGUUAGCAUGGUAGCAAACCUUUAUUAAAUGAUGCAUGCAUUCAUAUUCUUGAUUAUGGGCAUAGUAGCAUAGUUUUCCUACUACCGCAUUUACAGUUUUUAGAUACAUAUCUAUCUAUCUAUCUGUUGUUACUUGUGCCCACUUGGACCUAGUGGGGAGAUCGGCAGAGUCGGCGGCCGAGCCCACUGGGAACUAUAGAAGAUAGUUCUCACCCCACUCCAUUUCCAGUGGUAGGUACAGGGCUGCCGAGAGAGGACCGCGGCAAGGGCAUCGCGCCCGAUCAAUGAGACCGUGGUAGUAUAGUAGCUUUCCUUUUUGCAUUAGUACACCUAUGUAUUGAGAGAGAUUCAUUGUAGGUGAGGACUUGGAGAGCUAUGUAUUUUAGAGAUGAAAAAUGUAUUCAUUUAAAGAAAAUGAUGUAAAUGAAAAUGAUGGAACUAUUGUAAUAGUUAGUAAAGUACUCUCUUUAUUUCACAUGUAUACCUUGUGGAUUGCUUGCUCUUUGUAUUGUUGGCACUGUUUGUGCCCUUGCGGAUGUGUAUGUUUAGAAUUUAAAUUCCUGGGUAAAUUCUUGUACACAUUCCCGUUGUUGAGCCUUGGGCGGACAGGGGAGGUGCUGUCCGUUCGGCGGUCCGCUCACCGUGCCCGAAUCGUGCCAAAUUGGUAGUGGUUUCGGGGCAGGACCUGACAGCUGUGGUAUCAGAGCAAUAAAAGCAAGUAAAGAGAGAGUCUAGGAUGACCUAGGAGACCCUAGGUUGGUAAGCCCUGAGGUUAUAUGUGUUUGAGCGGAACGUGAACCUAUAGCGAUGGCGAAAGUUGAUUCGAUUGGGUCGAAAUGGGUAAUAUGUCUCUAGUUGUGAUUAGAGACGGAUUUAAGUGGUAUGAGUUCUUGUCUUGAGGUGGUUGUGUCGGCGGCCGACGACAUAAUACCAAGAGUCUAGAACGAGUGCACUUGUGUGCUUCCGCCCGAUUUUUGUGGUUGAGUCGUAAUGUGUCGUAAUUGCGACGAGGUAAUUGGUUAAGAUGACUGACCAAGUAUUUGCGUUUCAGGGACUAAUGUCUCCAAGAUGCUACACGCGUAGAUCUGCCCCAGCACCGAUUCCUGAGGUGCCCGAGCAGGAGGAACUGAGCGUGAUCGAUCGGUUGCAAGCGCAGGUGACCGCGGUGACCAACGUGGUGCAGCGCCAGGAGACCCGAUUUGAGCGUCUCCAAGAUCUAUUGGAGCUGCAGAUUGCGGCAGCGGCUGCGACAGUGAAUGAGGGCGGUGGUCUGCCCGUACCCUCGACUCAUGCACCCGGAGCGGCAGAGGGUGAGGGCAUAGCGGCGGUUCCGGUGAUGGCACGUCCACCGCGAGCGAUCGUACCACAGGCGGCAUCGGGAUCGGCUACACCCGAUGUAUCGGCCGAAGACGUGGAGGGAGAGAGCGCUUUGGCAGCUCUUAUCAAGUUCAACAAGUUCCAUCCGCCAACCUUCGAGGGCGAGAAGGUGGAACCGGAGAUGGUCGAGUCUUGGAUCGACUCGAUGGAAACCCUCUUCGAUGACCUGCGUACCUUGGAGAGGGACAGGGUGUAUCUCGCAACCCAUUGCUUGGGAAAGGCGGCGAAAGUUUGGUGGAAGCGAGUCAAACGGGAUCGGCUUCCCGGCCUUCCGCCAAUGUUGUGGAAGGAGUUCAAGCGGGAGAUUUUCGCCAACUAUUUCCCCGAUACAUUGAAGCGGAAGCUCAAGAAGAAGUUCCGCAAGCUGGAGCAAGGGGACCGCUCAGUAGCGGAGUAUGAACAAGAAUUCUCCCAUAUCAUAGACUGUGUCCCGGAUGUUGUAAAGGAUGACCGGGACCGGGCCGAGUGGUUCUUGCGAGGACUUCGGCCGGGAAUCUACAAGGCCAUGCAAAUACUCAAGCUCACGACCUUCGCGGAGGUCUUUGAUCGAGCCCUAUGGGCGGAGCACGGAGAUGCCCAUGUUCGGGAGAAGCGUGAGGCUUUGGCCGAGUCAAAGGACAAGGGCAAGAAACGCCAAGGCGGCGGUAGUUCGGGGGGACAAACAUGUUACAAGAAACCCCCGAAAUAUCCGCGCACUCAACAGAAGGGCUGUGGAGCGCGGCGAUGCAUUGUGUACGGCGGAGACCACCCGGUCUCGUGCUGUGAGCAAGGCCGAGGCAAGUGCUACAAGUGUGGGCAGCCGGGGCACUUCAUUCGAGAUUGCCUUGGAUGAGGAGCCUCACCUGCCCCCUCGAUUGCAUCGGCGCCGGCGAUUCCGGCUCACUAUGGAGGAGCUCCACCGACGGCCGCGUCGACUGGACGCGCGAUGAUGCCGCGUCAACCCGAAGUGACGAGAUCGGCCCCGAGCGGACGGGUGUUCGCCGCUCACUUCCAAGCUGAGGAACCUGCGGAGGCGGAGGAGCAUCGCCUUGUAGCAGGUAUGGUUUUAAUUAACGGAGUUCGCUCCAGGGCUUUAUUUGAUACAGGAGCGACACAUUCAUUCAUAAGUAGAUCAUUCGCAUGCAUGCAUGGCAUACAUAUAGAAGCGAGUGACGAGUGGCGAGUGGAGGGCCCUGGGUCAACGUUUAACACUUACUCGAAGUGUGUGUCGUGUCCCGUACAAAUAGGCGACUGGAUUAUGCCUAUCCGGGCACUGGAACUCACAAAGCUUGAGGCUUACGAUGUCAUUCUGGGCAUGGACUGGCUCUCGAAGUAUCACGCAAUAAUCGACUGCAAGAGCAGAGUGAUCACAUUCCGUGAGCCAGGACAAGAGGAGUUCACGUAUCGGGCUUGUCAAAGCUCGUGCUUCGUCGCGACAGUGUCGGCGACGAGAGCGAGGAAGAUGGUCAACAGCGGUUGCACGGCAUUCUUAGCGACUGUUGUAGAAGUCGAGCGAGUAUCUCUAAUGUUAGAGGAGUUAUCUGUGGUGCGGGAGUUCCAGGAUGUGUUUCCUGCGGAGUUGCCGGGGAUGCCACCGGAUCGGGAGAUUGAGUUCGUCAUAGACUUGGUUUCUGGUACCGCACCGAUCUCGAAGGCUCCGUACCGAAUGGCGCCGGCGGAAUUGAAAGAGUUGAGGAGUCAACUGCAAGACCUCCUCGACAAGCAAUUUAUCCAGCCAAGUGUAUCACCGUGGGGAGCCCCGGCGUUGUUUGUGAGGAAGAAGGAUGGAUCGUUCCGACUCUGCGUGGACUAUCGAGAAUUGAGCAGAGUCACAAUCAAGAACAAGUACCCACUACCCCGAAUCGAUGACUUGUUCGAUCAGUUGCAGGGGUCGUGUGUGUACUCAAAGAUAGACUUACAAUCCGGCUAUCACCAGCUAAAAAUCAAGCCGGAGGAUGUGCAGAAGACCGCGUUCCGCACGCGGUAUGGACAUUACGAAUUCACUGUCAUGCCAUUUGGACUUACGAAUGCUCCAGCGGCAUUUAUAGAUUUGAUGAACCGUGUCUUCAAGAAGUAUUUGGAUCAAUUUGUCGUGGUCUUCAUAGACGACCUAUUGGUCUAUUCUCGUAGUGACGAGGAACAUGCCUAGCAUUUGAGGAUAGUGUUUCAAGUCCUUCGGGAGGAGAAGCUAUAUGCUAAACUGAAGAAGUGUAACUUCUGGCUUCGCGAGGUCGCCUUCUUAGGGCAUGUGAUUUCCGCGGGUGGAGUUUCUGUAGACCCGAGGAAAGUUGAGGCAAUCAAGGAUUGGCCACGCCCGACGAAUGUCACGGAGGUUCGAAGCUUCGUGGGCUUGGCGGGCUACUAUAGGCGGUUUGUGGAAGGCUUUUCCAAGACAGUGAUUCUGCUUACCUGCCUAACUCAAAAAGGCACCAAGUUUGUUUGGAGCGAAGAGUGCGACCGGAGUUUCAAAGAGUUGAAGCAGAGAUUGACUUCGACCCAGGUGCUCGCUCUACCGGUGCAGGGCGAAGACUUCGUGGUCUACAGCGAUGCCUCCUAUCUUGGGCUGGGGUGUGUAUUGAUGCAAAACGGGAAGGUGAUCACCUACGCAUCCCGUCAGCUGAAGAGCUAUGAAAAGAAUUACCCCAUCCAUGAUUUGGAGCUAGCGGCGGUGAUUUUCGCCUUGAAGCGGUGGAGGCACUACUUAUAUGGUGCCCAUUGUGAGAUCUAUACCGACCACAAGAGCUUGAAGUACAUGUUCACACAGAAGGAGCUCAAUAUGCGUCAGCGGCGGUAGUUGGAGCUAUUAAAGGAUUAUGAUGUUGAUAUCCUCUACCACCCCGGGAAGGCAAAUGUGGUAGCGGACGCACUUAGUAGGAAGUCGGCGAAGAACCUCGCUUUUGAUGUUACCCAGCAAACACCCCUAUGGCUGGAUAUGGAGCGAUUGGAUCUUGAAGUGGUCGCUCCCGAGGUCCCGACUCAGUUGAUGGCACUCAUUAUCCAACCGACCUUGUUGGAGAGGAUCAAAGAUCUGCAACCCGCAGACCCAGAACUCCAAAAGGUGCGGCGAAACAUGGAGAAAGGGCAUGGCGGCGAUUUCAAGGUAGACGCCGAUAGUACGCUUCGGUUUCGAAACCGAUGGUGUGUGCCGAAAGAUGGAGAGCUUCGUGAAUUGAUUCUACAAGAAGCAUACCGAUCUCCAUAUGCUGAUCACCCGGGCGGCACCAAGAUGUACAAGGACUAAAAAUGCACUAUUGGUGGCCGGGAAUGAAAAGUGAUAUUGGACGCUUUGUGGCGAAGUGCUUAACAUGCCAACAAGUAAAGGCCGAGCGUCGAUUUCCAGCGGGUAAGCUUCAAAGCCUACCAAUCCCCGUUUGGAAGUGGGAGGAUAUAUCGAUGGACUUUGUGGUCGGCUUGCCUCGCUCAACGGGCGGCCACAAUGCAAUUUGGGUAAUUGUGGACCGAUUGACGAAGUCGGCUCACUUCUUGCCGAUCCACACCACGUGGUCGGGUGACAAGUUAGCGCAGGUAUACCUUGACGAGGUAGUGAGACUGCAUGAUGUACCGAAAUCGAUCGUGUCGGAUAGUGACCCCCGGUUCACUUCACAUUUCUGGAAGAGCCUGCAGGAAGUCCUUGGCACAUGGCUCGACUUUAGCACUGCAUUUCAUCCUCAGACCGAUGGGCAAACAGAGAGAACUAUUCAAACUCUGGAGGACAUGUUGCGAGCGUGUGUCAUUGACUAUAAGGGAAGUUUGUGUGAUCACCUACCUAUGGCCGAGUUCGCCUACAACAACAGUUAAAAUGCUAGUGUGGAGAUGGCACCGUUCGAGGCUCUCUAUGGGCGGACGUGUAACGCACUGGACCUUGCAAAUUGUGGGGUUCGAGUGAUUGAGUGUGUUCUGAACUUUUCCAGACUUUCUGGUAGGUCGUUGACUGUGUUCCGACCUAUGGUUCGAGUCCCGAGAAUUGUGGUUUAAAAUCUUGCAUCAAAAUCCAAAAAUUUAGAUUUUUGGUCAGCUCUCGGAUAGCCUUCAGCAGGCCGUGUACCGGUAUGGGUUCGCUUGCUGUACCGGUACAGGGUUGAUGGCUGUACCGGUACGGGUCCGCGUACCGGUACACAGACGGCUUUUCGGCCAAACCCGAGGCUCGGGUUUGCGUUUCGUGGGUUGUGUACCGGUACACAAACCCGUGUACCGGUACACAAACCCGUGUACCGGUACACAAUGCAGAUUGGGGCUGUUUCGUGGAUGGGUGUUUUUGCAAUUGUUGCAGCACCUUUAUAAGUGACCCCAGCCCCCUUGGCUGCUCUCCUUGAGCUCUAAACAGGGAGAAUCAAGGUGAGUCUUCUCCUCUUGGUUUGAUCUCCAUUUUUUGGUGGUUUUUAUGGGUUUUGAUCUCUCUCCUUCUCUCCUUUUUGCUUUUUGUGGGUUUGCCACCAUUGGAGAAGCUUGAGAUCUUGGUGGGAGCUUAUUUGGAGAUCAACCUUCAACCCUAAAAAAUAGAUCAUCAUUCUUCCACAUGUAUAAUGAUAUACUCAAAGUCAAAUCUGAGAGACCACCCCACAGGCUGUCUAGGCCCCUGAGAACCUCACCCUAGGUCCUUCUGCCGUGCAGCCUAAUGGCCCGUGGUAGUCAAUCCAUCCCCACCCAAGCAGAGCCUGUCCCCACGGCAAUCCACUUCGGCACCCAAAUCCCGCAAGGCGAAUAUAAUCGCUGAUGGUAAUCUCCGGAUGCCGGCUGUAGGAACGACCUCAAACAAGCAUUUUCUAAUCGAGCAAAUGCGCUAUAGUAUUCAAGCCAUCGUGUCAUCAAUACCAAGUCCUCAGUCUAAUAACAGAACUAUAUCGUCACCAAUAUCCCAUGCCUAUUCCUAUGUAUCAGUCUUUAACAUGGAAUAUAUACAGAUAUGUUGCGCUUACUCAAAUAUUCUCUACGUUUGCAGUUUUCAUUAGUUUUACUAGUAUUCAAAGUGCCCCUUUAACACUGCUUCUCUAUGUCAAAGCACUGGCACUAUAUUCCCAAAGUACACUAUUCCAUAGUCAUAACAGCCUCAUAAAGAUUAUUUUCACUUGCAUAAAUAAACACUUUCCCAUAUCAUGCAUUCUAUUCAUAUACCUUACUAUAUAGUGAAAUUUCAUAGCAUACACAAGGCAUGCAAUUUAAGUGCUUUAAAAAUCCAUAUAAAUUCCAUUUAGCAUAAAAUAUGAAUUUAAAAAAAUAUUACAAAACAAGAGCAAAGGACAUGGGCUUUUCGCCCCAUUUCCCACAAAUCAAACCCACCCGAUCGACACACCGAACUCCUCGUUUGCCCACAACGAGGUGUCUUUCUAGUCUCCUAUACCUAGGAUGUAGGAACAAGUUCAAUUAAAGCUUACGAACAAACUAAGCUCAAACAUUAACUUCUCUACUUAUGUUGAGAAAACUCACCGAACUUAAUAGAAACCCCCACAACCAAAAGGAGUAGAUUUCUUGCAAAUCAACCUAAAUCAAAUUCUUAACCAAUCAAUUUGGUUCUAGACUAAAUCAAAAAUUCCAAUUCUAUAGCCCUAGAACCAAAUCUAAGGUUUCAUCAAAAUAAAACCUCCAAAACUAAUCCAAAUGGAGAUUAGGUUUACUAACCUCAAAAACCCAAAAAUAGAAAAAAAAGGCGCGCUUUCCCAAAAACAAUCUCCAAGUCCUCUGUUGAAGGUUAACUCAUCCUUGAUUUCUCCCUGUUAAGGCUGCAAUUAGAGCACAAGGGGCUUGGGUCACUUAUAAACAUGUUCAACAAUUGCAAAAACACCCCCCCGAAACACGCCCCAAUCGCACUGCUGUACUCGUAUCACCGGUUUGUAAUACCGUACAACAACCCAGAAACGCAAACCCGAGCCUCGUUUUGGCCGAAAAGCGCGUCGACCGUAUUACAGCGGGCCCGUACCGUACAGGCCAUCAAACCGUACGUACAGCAAGCAAAAACCCGUUACCGUACCGCCCUGCUGAAGCUUCUGAGAGCUGACCAAAAAAAUCCAAAAUUUUUGAAUUUUGUGCAAGUUUAUAACACAAAUCUCCGGGACCGAAUCAUUGUCGGAACACAUCAACGACGCUACCUGAAAGUCUGGAAACAGUUCAGAAACACCAAUUGCAUCGAACGCACAAUUUGCAAAAAGUCCUAGUGCGUUAUAUACCCCUCCUAAAAAAGAGUUUCGUCCGCAAACCCGAAAGCAAAAAUCAUACCUAAAGGCUCCUAUCUACAAAGAGGUAUAGCGCGCCUCAUCGCACUCUCUACUCCUACGGGCAUCGCGCUCUCGCUGAUUCGCCCAAAGAGACCUCCAAUAUCGGAAAUCCGAUUCCGCCACUUUUCAACCCUCGCGAUGCUCAAGAAUCUCACAUAGGUUGCUCGCUCGAAGUCAGGAUCUCACGCUCAGCUCCACUGUAUAGCUUCCAAAUUGAUCUGGUCCAUCAGAAUGUACCUCCGAAGGACCGAUAAUAAGACGUUGUCACCCGAUAGGUUCGGCGGUAGAGCAAGUCGAUACUCACCUGGCACUACACGCUCCAAGAUCUCAUACGUCCAAUAAACCUGGGCUUCAACUUCCCCAAAUCGCCCGAAUCUCUUAUUCCUCUAGUUGGCGAGACAUUCAAAAGAAGACAUGUUUCCCACUUGGAACUCAAGUCUCCGCCCCGUCGAUGCAGGAGUCUCCUCUGUCUAACUCUGCCCCAAAAGUUCGCUCCUGAAGUUCAAUUCGAACCUUGUCCUCACUUCCUAGAGCACAUUCCAUGGCCAAAGCCAAUCUUCCCGACUUUCAUCCAGAUGAAGUGGGCGAUCUAUAACACUCCGUCCAAUAAAGCUUCAAGUGCCCAUCUUGAAUGCUUUCUUGAUUAACUGUUGUAUAUUACAAACUCCGCCAUAGGUAGUUAUGCUCUGCGACCUAUGCCUCCCGGAACUGCUUAUCACACAUGCCCGGAGCAAUAUCCUCUUUAAAUGUCUGAAUAUUGCGCUCUGACUGCCCACACUUUGGCGGUGAAGCAGUAACUGAAGUCCCAGAUCGAUUGCCUAGGCGUCUUAGACUUCUCCAAAAGUGAUAACACAAACUCGGGUGUCCUCGAUAUAUGAACUAUCGACGUUAGUACCUUUCCAUGAAUCGCAUUCAAUCUCAUCGAGUACACUUGUGCGAUGCUUCUCCCCGGUCCAAAGUUGUAUAAUAGUAAAUGCGCCGACUUGUCAACCCAUCCACGAUCACCCCAAAUAGCUUCAUGCCCUGCCUGUGAGCGUGCAAUAAACUUCACAAAGUCAUGUAUCUUCUCCCAUUUCCACACGGAAUAGCAAACUCUUAUUUUCCCGGCGGGAACUCGGUGCUCAGCCUUUACUGCGACAUUAACAACGAGCUACAACCUCGCCAACGUCCUUUUUCAUCCCGGGCCACCAAAUAAAUCAACUUAGAGCCUUUUACAUCUUGGCCAUUCCCGAUGUAAGCACUACGCCUCGGGUGCGUCUUCUGAAGAAAUUUCUUCUUAAUUUCUGGAUCCGCAGGUAUACAAAUUUGCCCACGGAAACGCAUGCAAUCCCUGGAGUCGUCCAAAAGGAAGACGCCGGGCAACUAUCAAACCUUUUCUACCCUCGAAUCUUGCAACUCCACAUCAAGCUUUGUCUUCUCUUUGACCCCUCCAACAAUGUAGGUUGCUACUACUAAUUCCAUCAACGCUCAUAACGCGUGUCAAUGAGUCACUAAUCUCCAACUCCAACCGCUUCAUCUGCUCGAUCAAUCUCGGUUGAUUCAUCAACACAUCGCUAAGGUUUUUUUAUCGAUUUCCUACUUAGCGCAUUGAUCCGCCACCACGUUAGCCUUGUCUUUUUCGGGUGGUAAAGAAUCCUCAAAAGAAAAUUCCCCCAUAAUCCUUGAUAGCUGCAACCAUCUGCGCUGUCCUCAAGUACAACUCUUUCUGAGAAAUAUGUACUUUAAAGCUCUUUGUGAUCCGUUGAAUACUUCGCACCGCUCCUCUUAAAAGAUAGUGCCCAUAAGCUCAAUCGAACACUACGCCGCCAAACUCCAAUCAUGUCGUCGGGUAUUCUUCUCAUAUUCCUUGUAUUGCGAGACAUACGCUAUCAACCGAUUGCAUCCGCAUCAAUCAACCACACUCAAUUUCCAUUAAGUGAAAGCAUCCAUAUAAUCCACAUACCGUGCUCCAGCUAAACUGUAGGUCCCAUGAUCGGCAGGUCGCUAAUCUACGGCUUCAAACUCUUGAACUCUUGCGCUUCGCACUCUGCGUCAUUCCAAAUGAACUUGACUCCUUUAUGCGUGAGGCCUCGUUUGUGAGGGGAGUAGAUAGUUAGCAACCCCUCUACAAAUCUCCGUAGUACCCCGGCAUCCCAAGAAGCUCAGUUACUCCCGUGACCUCGUUCGCUCGCAAUUCCUUGAUCGCUUCAAUCCUUCUUGACCCGCUAUACAUGAUCCCGAAAUGCAAAUUCCAAGACAAAAGCACCUUCCUUGAGCCCAAAAUUCAAUUUUCUUCAACUUGGCAUAAGCCCUCUUUCCGAAGUUACUUGAUACAAUCUCAAUGCUUCCUCGUGAUCUGCAUCACUGUCUGGCCGAAGUUACCCAAAAAUGUCGCGAUGAACAUCCACGCACACAAAAUGUCUAGAUAAUAAGCUUAAAAACCACGGUUCAUUUAGAUCCAUAAAACUGCCGGUGCAUAUUAAGCCCCGAACGGCAUAACGUGAACCUCGUAAUGUCCAUACCGGUUCUAAAAGGCUGUCUCGAUACCAUCCUCGGUUGAAUCUUUAGUUGUGUCGUAUCGCCGACUGUAAGUCUAUCUUCGAAUAUUACACACGAUCCCUGAAGGCUAUCAAAUCAAGUCGCGAUCCUCGCAUACGAUACUUUUUUUGAUCGUUGACUUAAUUGAGUCACAUAACCACACAGAAAGCGAAGUAACCGUCCUUCUUCUUUGACGACAAAGCUGUUGCUUCCCAAGGUGAAACUCUCGGGCGAAUAAUACCUUGUCAAUCAAACUCUUCAGGCUGUCCCUCAGCUCCCUCAGCUCCGCCGAUGCCAUCCCUAUAGGGUGCUUUGAGAGUGGGUAGUCCAGGGUCGAGAUCCACCACAAAACUAAUCUCCGCUAUCGGAGCAUAAACGCGGUAGCUCAAGCUGGAACACAUCCUGAACUCUCAAGCACCACCCCCAGAUAUCCUCGGAUCCUAGGUGGUAUCAUCCGUCGCCUCUUAACACCACACUACCAAAAUAGGCUACGCAACUCUGCUGAUCAUUGCCUAUCCGAACUAUUGAUCGUCAAUCGCAAAUAGUAACUCCGGCAAUCCACAAAAUACAAACUCUCGUCUAUCCGUUCUCUAACAAUAACUGUGGCAUUCUUACAAUCAAUGCGUGGCAUAAUACUUGGUCAAUCACAAGUCCAUGCCCAAACCACGUCAAAAUUCCCGACCGCUUGCGCAACAGCUAGUAAAUCUACAGCAUAAUCCAAUUUCCUACGCCGAACAGGCAACUGGAACUAUACUCUCUAAUAUCCAAACGUGGUCGGUACAUACAACAUGUCCGCGGUAUGUUUGAGGUUAGAGAUUGCAACAAACCUGAAGAUCGACGCAUGCACCUCGCUCGAAAGAUGCGGCCUUGUCCUCAUCGUCCCGCAUGACGAAGGGCAGCAUGCAGAAGACGAGAAAACUCCCUCCGGUACUCGCUACGGUCCUCACGCUAGCGCAAAGCCUUGCGCAAUCCUGUUCCAAUCUUUCAUCUGACGCUGUGCGGAAGUAGUGCGCAAAAGAAGUCCUGAAACCUCGUGUCCAAUGGAUAGGCUGUCCAAAUCUGUCGAGGGUUCUCCUGAUAGCCAACUACACAGUGCGUUAGCACGCCGUCCCAAAUGUGAGUGCCAGCCACAAUCGCUGUCCUCUCCUCCAACGAAGGUUCGUCGGAAGACUCUCCAUAUUCAUCAACCACUUCUCCACGAUCAGUUCUGACCUUCUCGUGCCGUCGAAGACUCGGAGCUGCACCUCCUGAAACUCAUUGAGGCGCUCCAUCAGUCUAAUCUCCGCUCCGCCAACCUCACCAGGUAGGGAAAUGCUGCUCCAACUCGGGCUCUGUACAGGUGGUGCCACCAAAACCUCGCUCCUGGGGUCGCCGCAUGCGCCGCACGCAAAACUGGCGCGGGUGACGGCGCUCUCGGUGCAGACUUUCCACACUGCGUGCUGCGGUGUAAGGCCUGAGUUCCCUGGAGAAUCCAGCCUUGCUUUGCAGAUAAGUAGAUCUCCAGCACGCUUCAUUCCGCGCCUCCUGCGCGCGCCGCAGGUCGGUCUGCUGUUCAGGCCGUCCUCCACCUGCUGAGUACCAAAAUCAUUGAGGGCCGCAUGCUGCCCCUACUCACGGACCUCGCGGAAAUCCGGAGUUAAGGAGCGUCCCGACCUCCUCAAAAUUUGUCCGCAUAGUUCGCACCGCAAGAUUUGGAAGCGAGUAAACUCGGCAUUCUGUCACUUACAACACCAUAUAACGGCAAGUUAGAAAUACUCUCGCUAUCGCAUCCUGUGCCACUCAAAAACAAACCCCAAAUCAUCUAAAGUAAAGAAGUGUUUCCUACAUCUACAAACGUCCCGAUAUUACGUUGUCGUCCUCGCCAACGUAACGCUCGACCGAAGAUUAAAAGUCAAACACCCGAUUUAACUAUCCACUUUCUAAUUAUCCAAGAUACCCAAUUCAAUACUGUCGCUUACCAAAGUCAAUUAACCUCGUCUUCAGCGAGCCUAUUUCCUAUAGUCCACCAGCCUAAGGUCUGCUAGUCCCCUAAAACUCAACACUUUAGGCUCUGAUACAAAUUAACUGUCACUCUCGGAGCCCAACGUAAGCCACACGCACGGCCAGCACACCGCCAAUACGUCUAAAAAUAUUAAGGCGUCUAAAACAACAAUAAUAAAAGCAAUACUAAUAAGACAUCUAGAUAUUAGAGGCAUAAUAAAUGUCAAAUGCUUACAAUAAGGAUAAGGAUAAACUGAAAUCCAUAAAUAUCUAAGUGACGAAAUCCAGAUAUCAAGUGCUAUAGUAGAAUACAGUAGGUGCCAUCUAUACUCAUGGUACAAAACCUCUCCACUUCUCUCAAUCUAAAAAGAAGAGUAAACCACCUAAGGCAAGUAGCUCCUCCGCUAGCUACUAAGCGAUCUCCAUGCCGACGAUCCAUGCCUCCCGCCCGUGCCGAAGGCCUGAAAAGUAAACUCAUAACAAACGGGGCUUAAACUAUUAAAUAAUUCCAACAUGUGGCAAUUAACUAACUUCAGUGAAUGCACCAUCAAGGCCAAAGCUAACAAUAAAAAUGUUAGUGACUAUGAAAUGUUAGAAAAGCGAAAGUAAGUAAAAAUGUAACUUACACAACAAUAUCGUCUACUAGCAUAAUAGCAUAAGUUAGUAAGCGCAACUAUGCAUGUAAGUAAAAGUUCCAACUAUCAUAAUGUUCAACAAUGCGAAAUAGUAAAUUCCGUUUUUACUAUUCUACGUCAAUGUCCAAGUAUGUUACCUGAAUCAUUAUUUUCCACAUUCAAAUAAAUACCAAAGUCAAAUCUGAAGAAAGCCGCACCCGAUAUGCUUCAUGCCCUUGACCCACCCGUAGGCGCUGAUCUCGGUGCCAAGCCUAAGUGCCCGCUCGGUGUACGUCAUCAUCCCCACCCUAGAAUGAGCCUGUCCACACGCAAUCCCUUUGGCGCCCAAUCCGCAUCGCGAAUAUAAUCGCGAUGGCUAUCUCCGGAGUGCGGCUUGUAAGGGAGAACCCUCACAGGAAUGUCUGAAUGACAAAUGGAAAGUAUCCAAAGCGAUCUGUCAGCAAUACCAAUCCUCAUGUUAAUAAAUGGAAUAUAUGUCACCAAAUCUCAUAGCUAUCCCUAAUGUCAUCAUGUCAACUGAAAUAUAGCAAUAAUUAGUGGCCAUCAAUAUUCUCUUACUUGCAGUUUCAAUAGUUUAAGCCUAGUUUCAAGUGCCCCUUUAAUACACUUUGUUCUCUAUUCUCAAAGUAAUGGCACUAUGUUCCAACAUACAUAUUAAAAGUCAUAAUUUAUAAAGAUGUAUUUUUCACCCUUGCAAGAUAACACUUUUCCCUAUAGGCUAUCAUACCUACCUCAUAAGAGAUUAUUAUUUCACUGGUCAAAUAUAUACACUUUUCCAAUAAGCAUGCCCUUUCUACUCAUAUAGCUCUACUAUAUAGUGAAAUAUUUAUAUACACAAGGCAUCAUUUUAAGUGCUUAAAUUCAUAAUAAAUUCCAAUUUAAACUAGAAAAUUAAAAAUAUUUUACAACAAGUAGAAAAGAGCAGGGGCCAUUUCGCCCUAUUUCCUACGAACCAAACCCAGCACGAUGACAAACUGGAACUCUCGUUUUGGCUCUAACGAGGUUCUUCUAGAUCUCCUAGCUACCCUACGAUGAGGAACAAGUGCAAACAUAGGCUUACAACAAAGCGUAAGCUCAAACAUAACUCUCUAGCUCGUGGAAGAAAACUUACCGAACGCUAAAACCCCACAACGGUCCAAUAAGGAUUAUAUCCUUCAAAUCCAUAACCUAAAUCAAAGUUCUAAACCAAUCAAUUUGGUUCUAGAAGCUACUAAAUAAAAAAUCCCCAAUUCUAGCCACUAAAUCCAAAAUUAGGGUUUCAUUCAAAAGAAACUCAAAAAUUAAUCCAAAAUGGAGAAAUUAGGUUACUAACCCUCACAAGAAUGCUCAAAGAGAAGAUCCCAAGUCCCUCNNNNNNNNNNNNNNNNNNNNNNNNNUUUUCAGAGCCUUCGGCACCGGCGGAGGCACGGGAUCGCGGCAAGGGGAUCGCUUAGCUAGCUAGCGAGGAGCGGUACUUUGCCUAGGUGGUUUACUCUUUCUUUUGUAGUUGAGAGAGUGAGAGGUUUUUGUAUCCAUGUAUAGAGACCACCUAUGUAUCUACCUAUAGCACUUGUAUCUGGGAUUUUCUUGUAUCACUUUAUGAUUUAUUUAGUGAAUUUACAGUUUUAUCCUUAUCCCUUAUUGUAGCAUUUAGACAUUUAUUAUGCUCUGAUACUCCUAAAUGUCUUUUAUUAUUGCUUUUAUUAUUGUUGUUUUUAAACGCCUUAUAUGUUUUAGACGUAUGGCGGGUCUGGGCACGUGCCGGGCGGGCUUCCGCUGGGUCCCGGGGCUUGACAGGACGUGUCGGUCUCCUAUACACUGGAGUGAUGUAGGUGAGCGUACAGAGUUCGACCCCGAUGUCCUGCGAGAAGCAGAGGAGAAAGUCCGUCUUGCUCGCAAGAGGUUGCUCACGGCGCAGUCGAGACAGCAAAGCUAUGCAGAUAGGCGGCGUCGAGAUAUAGAAUUCGCGGUAGGUGACCGCGUAUUCUUGAAAGUUUCACCGAUGCGGGGUGUGAAGCGGUUUGGAGUGCGGGAAAAACUAAGCCCCCGAUACAUUGGACCAUAUGAGAUAUUGGAGCGAGUCGGCACGGUGGCCUACCGACUUGCUUUACCGCCGAAGCUUGCGGAUGUACACAAUGUGUUCCAUGUCUCCAAUCUCCGCAAGUAUAUUCACGACCCCGAGCAUGCAAUGCUAUAUGAACCGCCGGAACUUCAAGGAGACUUGAGCUAUGAAGAGUUUCCGGUAGGGAUUAUCGCCCGAGAGGUGCAAAAGUUAAGGAAUCGAGAAAUUCCCUAUGUGAAGGUCAGGUGGAGCACUCACGAGGAUCGCGAAGCCACCUGGGAACUCGAGGAUCUGAUGAGAAAACACCACCCUCAUCUGUUUGAGGAAUAAGGUAAGAAUUUAAGUUAAAGUUAAGAAUCGAGUUCGUUUCGAGGACGAAACUCUUUUUAAGGAGAGGAGGAUGUAAGGACGUGAAUUCUCGAAAUCCGAGGAUUGUACUUCAUUCAGGAUCAACUAAUUGUCGAGAGAAUAUCCUUUGUGGGAGUUGAAAAUGUCCAAAACACAAAAAGUGCUUUGGAGUUGAGUCCGCGAGAGCAAAUGGUGCAAAUUGCAUCAUUGGGCUGAUGAUACUCUCGGGGACCGGUCUCUGGAGGUGAGAAACCGGUUCCACUGGCUGGUCGUAGCGGGGUUGCUUGAUGCAACCGGUCCCUGGUAGGGAGGGACCGGUUCCCGAACGUGGUUCCAGCAAGAAAUGCCGAAAUUUGGCUAAGUCCUGAAAAUCGAGCUCUCGGGGACCAGUCUUUCAGGUGAGGACCGGUCUCCGGGGAAGAGACCGGUUCCCGAACGCGUGCGCCCGAGGGAGGCCCUCAGGAAUCGGUCCCAAGUCGGGGAGACCGGUCCCUCCGCACGAAAUCUGCCCAGUAAGAGCAGUGUAUAGGAUUAAAAGUUGAGGGAUUUUUAUGCAAAAUGGCAUUAGUUAGGGAGGGGAUUAGAGGGGCUGAGCCCUCUUCCUCUCUCACCCUCACUCAUACUUUCUCCCUCUCUUAUUCUCUCUUGCUCUUUCUCUCUCUCUAGAAAAGAAAGGAGAAGAAGAAGAACAAGAAGGAGAGGAAGGAAAAGAAGGAGAAGAACAAGAAGGAGAAGAAGAAGGAGAUCAAGAGGAAGGCUUUGGACACCUUCAUCUUCCUCUCCUCUUCUCUUUAGUGUAGCACAAGAGGUAGGCUCUUGAACCCUAGCUUCUAGAAUUUAGGGUUUUGGGUUUUUAUGCCUUGGAAUGGGUCAAAUGGACCCUAAGCAUGCUUCUAAAUAGAUCAAUCCCAAGAAUCUAGAAAUUUAUUGAAUGGUUUGCUAUGGGUGCAAACUUAGGGCUCCAAAAUGGGGUUUUUGUGAAAGUAUGAGAUUGAUCUCAUUUGAAGCCUUGGAAACCCUAUUGUUAGGUCACAAAACGUGGGGGCGAAGUCGGUUUUAGCAUUCGACGAGCCGGCGUGAAGUUCUCGGCAAAAUAGGGCCGGGUUAGCAUCGACUUGGGCAAGGAAGGCUAAAGCCUUUUCGUGAAGUUCGCCGAGGAGCGUUUCCAAAGCCUCUACAUUGAUAAAAGGUGGGGGGUGCCAUCUCGAAGCUUUCGAACUCCUUUCUAUAUCUUAGAUUGCAUUUAAUCUCAUCUCUUACAUGUUGCAUUGUAGGAUUGCAUAGUAGCUCCCUUCCUUAUGCUUUCUAAAUGAUAACCUAGUGUACUUGGAACGCUUGGUGACUUAGAUAGGUGAGGAUUGGGUCGGAACAUGGAUUCUAUGAUGCGAAAGAAAAGAGAUGAACCCGAUGGGGGAUGUUGAUGACAUAGAAAGUAGUGUUAAUGUCAAAGAACAAACGAGUGGCAUCUAAACGCUAAAUGAUGACGAGUGGCAUUAAUGUAGUGUAAAUGACACUAGAGGUUUGAGAACCUAGGGAUAGGUGGAUCCCUUAGAAAAUGCCCUGUGGACAAGAACUUAGUAAACCUAAGUAGCCUCACAUGGAGAGGUUGGCGAUGAGUCGAUUGAGACAUUGACCCUAGUGGUAGGGCAUCCUCACUUGGAGAGGAUUUGAUUGGGUUGUGGACCCUAGUGAUAGUGCUUCCUCACUUGGAGAGGAUUCGAUUAGAUUAUUGACUCUAGUUGUAGAGCAUUCUCACUUGGAGAGGACUUGAUUGAGUUGUUGACCCUAGAUGUAGGGCAUCCUCACUUGGAGAUGAUAGAUCUAGCUCACAGUCUGCGUUUGGGAUGGUAUAGCCAUCCAAUCCCCACAUGGAGGGGAUUGUCGUCGAGUACUCCGGAGUGUCGCGCGACUAGGACCACUUGGAGGUCCGGACCACAUGGAGGUCCGCAGACGGUCCCGGGCUUGGGUGCACUUGGAGCUCCCUCCCCACUUUGGGAUUGAAAGGUGAGUUAUAGGCGAACCCUAGGGCUUCGCCACAAAUUAGGUAAAUGAAAAGGUAAAGGUUUAAUAAUGUCAUUGAACAUUGCUAUUCGAACAUGGAUCGAAUUUGUUAGCAUGGUAGCAAACCUUUAUUAAAUGAUGCAUGCAUUCAUAUUCUUGAUUAUGGGCAUAGUAGCAUAGUUUUCCUACUAUCGCAUUUACAGUUUUCAGAUACAUAUCUAUCUAUCUAUCUGUUGUUACUUGUGCCUACUUGGACCUAGUGGGGAGAUCGGCAGAGUCGGCGGCCGAGCCCACUGGGAACUAUGGAAGAUAGUUCUCACCCUACUCUAUUUCCAGUGGUAGGUACAGGGCUGCCGAGAGAGGACCGCGGCAAAGGCAUCGCGCCCGAUCAGUGAGACCGUGGUAGUAUAGUAGCUUUCCUUUUUGCAUUAGUACACCUAUGUAUUGAGAGAGAUUCAUUGUAGGUGAGGACUUGGAGAGCUAUGUAUUUUAGAGAUGAAAAAUGUAUUCAUUUAAAGAAAAUGAUGUAAAUGAAAAUGAUGGAACUAUUGUAAUAGUUAGUAAAGUACUCUCUUUAUUUCACAUGUGUACCUUGUGGAUUGCUUGCUCUUUGUAUUGUUGGCACUGUUUGUACCCUUGCGGAUGUGUAUGUUUAGAAUUUAAAUUCCCGGGUAAAUUCUUGUACACAUUCCCGUUGUUGAGCCUUGGGCGGACAUGGGAGGUGCUGUAUGUUCGGCGGUCCGCUCGCCGCGCCCGAAUCGUGCCAAAUUGGUAGUGGUUUCGGGGCGGGACCUGACAGUAAUAGUCACUAGCAACCCAUCGGUCUAGUUCUAUGUCUCAAAGUGAAGUUUCAACAUUCACUAAAUUUAAUGCCUCUUUAUGACAUUAGAACAUUACUAUAUCCAAGCAUAUUCCAAAUUCGAUGCCUCUUUAUGGCAUUAUUAGUAGGAUCAUACAUAACUCAAGCUCAAUGUCGCCUUAUGACAUUAGCUCACUAAUUCACACAUCAUUCAAGUCUAAUGCCUAAACCCAACAUGAAUAAUUCUCUACUACAUAGAGGUUCAAAUAUACUUUGUAUAUAACAUGUGCAUUCUAGGCAUUCUAAAAUUCACAAAUAUUACAUCUAGUAUGAAUAUGCAUAAAAUUUUAUUUUACGACAAGUAUAAUCAUCAUAUGAGAAUUUUUAUCUCAUUUUGGUGAGGCCAAACCCACCAAGUCUCAUCGAAAUCCUUUGCUUGCGCAAAAGGAGUUGUCCACUAUUCUCCUAGCACCCUAAAGGUAAUAAAAGGAGAGUUAAACAAACAUUACGAACAUCCCUAUGGUCGAUUAUUAACUAUAACGUAUCGAAACCUCGAUAGCGAUUAUCGAACUUUAGCCAAAUUGGUUAAAGUGCCGAGAGAAAUGGAUAGACAAAGUCCGGUUGACAUUCCAACAAUGUUGGAAGGGUCAAAGUCGAGUCCCGAGAGUGUUAAGCAAGUUUUAGCAUUGCUCGGCGUGAUUUAAAAGUGAACAAUGCGAAAGAAAUAGUUGGGUAUGUUCCAUUAAGCGUUCCAACAAUAUUGGAAGGGUUAAAAAGGAGUUCUAAAAGAGUUAAAAGGGUCUUAGCAUCAAAUGGCGCGAAAUAGAAUAAAAAACGGCGCAAAAUCAGCAUUCUGGGCAAAGUGUACCGGUACAACCAUCGAGUUGUCACCGGUACAACCCUGCAGACCGAGAAGAGCUUGCUCUCGGGUUUGAGAGAAAAAUCGAAAGUGUACCGAUACACUUUAAAAGUGUACCGGUACAAAUCCUGCGUAACCGAGAAACAUGCUUUCGGGUUGGCCUCUGCGCAAUCGUGUAUUGGUACAAAUCCAAUGUGUACCGGUACACUUUGGUCUGGCAGCACCAAUUUGGUCUGCUGCAAAUAAAAAGAAAUGGGGGGCCUAGAUGCAAUUGUAGUACCUUAUAAAACACCCCAACACCUCUCUCUCCCUCUCCCACAGCAAACACACACCUCUUCUCUCAUUUCUCUCUUUCUCUUUCUUAAGAUCACUUCCAAGAGCCAGGAGGUGAAGGAGGAGAAGGCUUUGGAGGGAUUUUUGGUGGUUUUGAAGGCUUGAGAUCUCUCCUACAAGGUGGACAUUGGAGAGCUUUGGGCUAAGGUGAGGUGUUUUGUAACAAUAGGUCUAGGGUUUGGUUAUAUGCCCUAGAAAACUAGGUUUUGUUCUUCUCUCAUGUAUAGAAACCUAGUAAUGGCUUAGAACACAUGAAAACCCUAGUUUUCUUCAUGUGCUCUAAUGGUGAAUUCCUAGGGUUUGCUUAUUAUGCCCUAGAAAUGAUUUAGAUAGUUCUAAAUGAGCUUCUAGAUGUUGAACAAGCUCUCUUUUGCUUGUUUUAGAGAUCAAAAUCUAGAUUUGAGCAAAUGGUGUUGUUAGGGCACCAAAUUUAGAGCUUUUGCCCUAGGGAGUUUCUAAGGCAAAUUAACCUUGUACAAAACCUAAUUGGGGGUAUUCCCGACACGUUGUGCAACUCGGUUUGACGUUACGAAAAGCCUAUGUAGGAGUUCUAAGUAUUAAGCCUAAUUUGGCUUCGUUUUGCCGCAGGCGAUAAAGUAGAGCUUCAAAAAUUCCAAGAAAUUCACCGUAGCACCUUUGCAACCAUACAAGGUGGGUGAUGCAUACCAAGGACCUCGGAAUUCCUUUUAUAUCUAAAGUGUCAUAUUUAAGCAUAUGUAUGUAUUGAGCAUAUUGCAUAGUAGGGGUAAUUGUGAGCUUCUUAUCGCAUGUUGUUGGUUCAAAUACAUGUGAAAUGCUAAUGAGACAAUGAGAAUUUAUAAACCCUAUGUAUGCAUGAUAAGUGACAAGAACCUAGCGGACUUAGUAAACAAAUAUGACAUGUGGAUAUGAGUCGUAGAGAGUGGCAUCUACUAGUCUUGAACACUUAGAGAACAAGUGUGGCAUCAUUAUAUGAGUACAAAGAUCAAGCAGUGUAUAUGACACUAGUAAAGGUUAACGAAUGCAAGUAUACAAAGGUAGCGACAUUAUGACAUAGCAACCUUAGAGUUAAGGGUCAUAUGUGUAUUACUUUCUUAUAGUUAAGGAAUGGAUUGAAGUUGACAUUCUUAUAGUUAAGGAUUGGAUCAUACUCACCUGUAAGUCCUUACUCGAGGGUGGUAGCUCCCCUUCGAGCGAUGUGCUCCGGAGUUGUCAUCACUGGAUCGUAGCGAGUAUCUCCCCAGAGGACAGUCCCGUCGGGUUGUAGCGGGUAUCUCCCCGAUAGUAGGGAUUUGGUUGGUGAGUUGUUGAGGGCGAAACCUACGGGUUAGCCAAGAGAUUGGGCAAUGAGAUUGUGAUCUUGCAUUCAUCAUCAGCAUACUAUUGAGCAUUGCAUUGAUUAUUGUUCAGGCAUAUUAGCUGCAUUUGUAUAGUUUGGUUACUAUCUAUAUCUCUUUUCUUCUAUUAUGUCUGAUUUAGACCUAGUGGGAAAGUCGGCGUGGUUGGUUGCCGAACCCACUUGAAACUUUGUUGUAGUUCUCACACCCCAUUUUUCACAGAGCCGGGACCGAGCGAGCUGGCAGACGAUCGCGGUAAGAGUAUUGCGCCCUAGACAGAGACCGCCCGAGAUACUUUACAUUUUGUAGUUGCAUACCCCUUUUAUAUAUAUCAUCUUUUGUACUUGGACGAUGAUUAGGGAUGUUAGAGCAAAUGUAUUAAAGAUACUUUACGAUGUUAAAUGUAAAGGUUUAUUUUGGAGAUUUGAGAUGUACAAAAGAAAUGAUGCAAAGACUGUAAAAGAACUUCGAAGUUGAAUGCAUAUAUGUGAUUUAAAUUUAAUCAUAGUGCUUGUAUGUUGAUUAGUUAGCACUUUCACUUUGGCUAUUGCUUGCCCUCGUGCAAGCCAUUAUGUAUGCUUCCGCAAGUACAAAUUUUAUACUCUAUCUGUACCUGUUGUUGAGCCUUGGGCGGACAGGGGAGGCUCUGUCCGUUCAGCGUCUGUUCGACGCACUCGAACCGGCCAAAAGGAUCGGGCUCGGGGCGUAACAUUAACCAUCUCAAGAAAAGGGACAAAACUCACCUAUAGAGUGGAAAGCCCUUCUCGAACUCCAAAUGGGAGCUAGAACCCUUCGAAUCCAACCUAGAGGAAGGUUCUAAUCCAAACAAUUGAGCUCCAAAAGCCCUAAAUCAAAAAUUCCCAAAUUAGACCCUAAUUCCUCAUUUCUAGGGUUUCUACACAAAAACCAUGAAAAUCAUGAUCUAUAGGGGAAAAGUAUGCAACUAACCUCUUUAGAUGCUCCAAAAGACCUAAGAAACCAGCUAGGGUUGAAGAUCUUCCCUCUACCAAGCUUCAAACACGAACUCAAGGCUUCUCCAAUGGUGGAAGUUGCACCAAGAAGCAAAAAGAGAAGAUUUAGCCACCAAAAUCCAAGCAAAAAGAGGAAAAAAUCAAAGAAAAUGGAGAGCGAGCUCACCUCUCCUUCUUUCCUGUUGCAACACAAGAGCCCCAUCCAAGAGGUGUGGGGGAAUAUAUAGUGUUGCUACAAUUACAAAGAAAUCCCUCAAAAACUGUCAGACUGCAGUUUGCAAAGUGUAUCGGUACACAAAAAAGUGUACAGGUACAAAUCCAUAAUACGCGCGAACCCAAGGCUCGGGUUAGGAGAAACAGCAAUGUGUACCAGUACAAAUCGAAUGUUGUACCGGUACAACCUCUUGUUCCGGUACAACUUCAAUGUCGUACCGGUACAACACCCUACAGACCCCAACCCGAGAGCGGCCUAAGUUCUUCUCUUUGGAGACCUUAGGGCUAAGUCAAAAAUCUCGUUUCUCAGGAUGCGAGCCAUAGGUCGGUACACUGUCAACGACUCUCCAGAAUAGCUAGAAAAACUCGAAACAUAGGUCAAACACUCGAACCUCACAAUUUGCAAAGGUCCAGUGUGUUACACGCCUUAUAUGUGUAGGCAUAUGGCAGGUCUGGACACGCACCGGGCGGGCCUCUGCCGGGUCCCGGAGGGUGACAGUGUUGGCCGCGGCUUUUCCUCCGUCGUCAUCGUCGCCUUAGCUGGCCGUCGCCCUCUUGGGUCCUUUCUCAUCCACCUCGACCGCUCUUGGCCGGUGUCUACCUUUCUUGGCCGCCAAAGCCCGAGAGAAAGGAGACCAACCUUGGACUACCCAAGCUAAGGCUCGCUAUUGACCAACUAUACUAUUCCGGUCAUUCUCGCGAAAUGCCAUAAUGAGAUGCUUCACAUUGUGGUCAUCCCAAACAACGUGAUUUCAGUUUUGGAGUAUCCAUACAUGCUGUAUAAAGCCCGGGAAUAUCUUGGCUCGAAGCUCGUAGCGAUCGACAAGUGAAACGGUGCCCGUACACAUGUUCUAGUAUGCUUUUGGCCGUGUUUUCGCAAAGUAGGUGAUCGUUGUUGAUCACAAUGAUUGGUGGGCAUUAUUUGCUAGUUGGGGACUCAUUGUUGUGAAGCUCAGGCAAUCGAGUGACCAUAGACGGGUUCCGGAGCCAAAACAACACCUUUUUGGAACUGUAACAUACCAGAUUUUGGUAUAAAAAUAAAAAUAAAUAAAAAUAGUAUGAGAAACUAUUUUUAUUGGAUUUAUAGAAGCAAAACAUAAGUCAGAAGUGACUUGUGCUGAAAUCGGAAUGAAAACAGAAGAUUUAGAAUUUUCUGUUGAAAACGGGACAGAUAAAUUAGCAGAAAAUACACAGUCUCAGAAAAUUAUGAAAAUUGGAGGAUAAGUCAGAAAUAUUUUUAUGAGGCUAGAUUUAAAGUUUCAUAUUUUUCUGACACCCGAAAGGUGGAAAAUAAAAUCCGACAAGUUAUCUGAUAAAGAUUACAGUUCGGUACAGUUUUCGGUGACCAAAUGGGGUCGAAACUGAAAACUUAAGAUAUAUUCUUACUCAGUACGUUAAACUGAGACUGUCUGUCAAAUUUGAGCUCAAACGGACACUCAGAAGGGCCCCAACUGUUCCGAACUGCUAAACUGCCCUCGAGUGAAUAGUGUUGGAGGGUGUUAAUUAUAUAAGAAGCCUUUGCUUCUUCUCCUCCAGCCGACCACACACAUGCGCCACACCCACACACACGCAUGGAAAGGGAAAGAGAGAACCCACCCUUUCUCUCUCUAGAUCUCUCCCAAAAUUGAAGGUUUUGGUGGAGAAGCAAGCUUGGAAGUUGAUCUUCAUCUUCUUCGUCUUCUUCUUCUCCCUUGGAGCUAGCUUAAGAGAUAAGCUUUGAUGCCCUUUAAUGGUAGAAUUGUAGGGCUUCAAUUAUAUGCUCUAAGAAUGAAUUUAGUGGAACUCCUAGAUGCUAAAUAGAGGAUUAAUGCUUGAAUCAUGAAGCUAUAUGAUGAUUUCUUGCAUAGUUACAACCUAGGGCUCCAAAAUGCAAUUUUUGCUAAUAGAUGGGUUUGAUCUAUUUUGACCCUAUGUAAACCUAAUUGCUAGGUAAACGAACGCGUUGGCGAAGUCAGUUCGGCGAUUCGUCGAGCCGUUGCGAAGUUAUUAAAGAAACGGACGUUUAGGCUUCGUUUCUGCCUGGAGGGCCGAGGCGACAUCGUAAACUCAUGAAAAUGGAUUUGAAGCACUGUGGCACAUAACCGAAGACCUUUAAUUUUCGGAUCAUGGAUUGGAGGCCGUUCGGGUGGUCGCGCGAGCGAUCGGGCCAAACCGGGUGCCAGGUGCCGCGGUAGGCCGAUUGCAAGUGUCGACAAGCAAUCGGAAUGCGAAAUGAGGUGGGUUGUGCUUACCGAAGCGACUAGGUCGCCUGUAUGUCUAAGUAAAGUGAAUUCGUGUUGAUGCAUAUAAAUGCUAGAUGGAUGCAUGUAGUAAAUGCUAAAGAAAAUGCAUGCUAAAGAUGUAAUAUAAAUGAUGCUAGUUAAAAACAUGAGAUAAAUGACAUUUGCAUGUUAACAAAAAGUAGAGAACAUGCUACUUGUAAAGUAUAAUGAUAAGUUGUAAAGGAUGCUAAAUAAAUGCAUGAAUGAUGUGGUAUAGAAAUGCUAGAAUAUAUGCAUUGGUUAAUGUUAGUUGGAUGCAUGUCAUGGAAAUGCUAAAUGUAAGCAUGUGGCUAAUACUAAGAUAUACUUGAUAAUCAUGUUAUAGAGAUACUAAUAUUAAGAAAAGGAUAUGGGCAUGUGGACAUAUAUAUAUAUGCACAUAGAUCGAGUGGCAUUAAACCUAGAGUCAUGGAUAUAGGUUGAAUAUGGAUGAUAUGAACCUAGUGUCAAAGAACAUAGGUUGGACAUCAAGUGGCAUUAAACCUAGUGUCUUGAACAUAGGUUGAACAAGUAUAGUGUGAACCUAGUGUCAUGAACCUAGCAAAUACUUAUGGUAUUUGAGCAUACAUAUUUUGUAUCAUUCAUGCUUGAUAGGACUAAGUACAUGUGAACCUUGGUUGCUUUCAAUGACAUGUUCUAACGUAGUUGAACAUAGAGAAUGGUAGAACCAUAAUGGAUAUGUAUGUUAGGAUCCCAUAAUUGUGUGAAUGUGAGAGUUGGACUUGGACAUAGUAAAUAAAGGUGACAUGGACAAUAGAGACAUUGAUUAGCAUAGAGAACAUAAUUGUUAAAUAUAGUUUAACCAAGAGUGGCAUUGAGACAGGAAUGACCUAGAGAGCGGCAUGAAUAAAUAGGUAGAAAACCUAUUAUGAUUGUGGCAUUUGUGGAAUUGUGGUUUAUGGCUAUACUUUCCCAAAUUGGGAAUUGGAUCAUACUCACAUUGAGUCUUGGCUUGAGGGCGGUAGGUCCCCCUCAAGCGGUGCAUUCCGGAAUUGUCACCACGGGAGCGCGGUUCCUAAAGACGGUCCCUCGGGUCUUGCAGUGCUUAGAGCCUCCCCGAUCAAAAGAGAUUUUGGGUUAUGAGUUCGAGGGGAACUGGGUGAACCUCGAUGCAAUUGGGUAAAAGCCAAGUGAAUGUACAUUAAGCGUUAUGAGCUAUAGAUUGAGUAUCCCUGUCGAGUGGAUUUGGGGCUGAGGUGUAUGUGAGACGUCCAUUACCUCGAGUCUGGUAUUGAUGCGGUAUUCCGCAGUUGAUUGACUCGAGACCGAGUCGGUUGGUUAGCUUGGCUAGGGUAGAGGAAAACCUUAGGAGCAAGUAACCAAUGAUUGUAAAGUGACAAGAUGUAUAAAAUUAUGGAAAAGCUAUGAAUAGCAUGAUAGAAAGUAAAAUCCUUCAUUCUACUUGUAUAGUUGCAUGAUUCGUAUAUAGCAUGGCAUUAUUGCAUUCGUGAGGCAAGGCAUGGUUUUAUUAGUUGCAUAAUAAAGAUAUAUAUAUCUAUCUGUUUAUUGAACUAACUUGCAGUUGCCUCCCUUGGACCUAUUGGUCGAGCUUUUCCCUUGGGUGGCCGUAUCCACUGGGAAUCAUGGAAUUGGUUCUCACCCCACAUUAUUUUGGGGUGUUACAGGUUCACACGUGAGCGGCGCGGCGGCGCGAGGCGAGGGCGUAACUCCAUAGUUAGCGCCCUACCACCGAGACCAGAGAUAGCGGUACCCUGAGUCGGCUUUACUUAGGGAUGUAAGAAAAUGAAAGGAAUAAGAUUGUAAUAAUUUGUAAUAAAAGCAUGAUUGUAUUUGAAAGUUAAAUGUAUAAUAAAAUUGUGAUGUAAAAUGUAUCUAAAUAAUGUGAAUGCUUGUAAUAGCAAGUAGAUUAUGUUUUUGAUACUUUCUUAUGCAAUCUUUGAUUGAAAUGUGUUCAUGGUUGGAACUUCGUACAUUGUAUUGAUUGCGACACCUUGAAUGUACAGAGGAGACUCUGUCCGCGGUACAGGAAAAACCCUGUCCGUUCGGCGGUCUGUUGCGACGCCGCGACCCAGCCAAAUAGGCGGGCGGUCGUGGGGCGUGACAGGAACCUUGUAUAGCUAAUUGUGGGGUUUUUGCCCUCGAAUUGUACUAUUUGGUGUGCGGCUGUCUCGAUACUCAAAAGUUAGUGUCCUGGUACAAAAUGGGAGUGUCAAGUGCUGUUCGAAGUGCUUCAGAUUACUCCGGGGUUGAAACAGACCCUAAAAUAUGAGCAAUCGAGAAAUUUUAGAUAUAGAAUCACAAAUUGUGUGAUGCGACUAUUUGUAGCAGUGUUUGGGCCUUAUAUGUUGGUCAUCCUUAAUAUCUUGUGUGUUCGGAGAUAGUAGGAGGGUUGAUGGUUGGUUCUAGAGUCGAAUUGGCAUGCCGUAGAUCCCAACGUAGUUCGGUUGAUGUUUUACAUACUUGUUUGCAUCACAUUUGUGUGUUGCUACCUAGGCACCCAAGUAGGUGUGCUUCAGGGCAGCGGAUGAUAUUUUGUGAGCUUUGUUACUCUUUGGGACAUUUCAUGGGAUUCGAAAGGGUUACAGUGUGUUGUCGGGUAUUUCCGGCAGGUUUCGAGAUUCAGUAAAGGUACCGAAUCUCAGUUGGUUUUCCGGGUUGUGUGAUAGGUAAUUUUAUGUCUCUUAGGGUUUGUUCAUAUCGAUUGUGAUUCUGUAGAUUUUUUAUAGGUCUAGGUAAUAUGUUGGAGCAUUGUUCGAGCUCGGUGCUCCACUAGAUUACAGGUGGGUACUUCGAUUCGAAGUCGGUCUAACGGGGCAGGCUCGGUGACUUCUUCUUUUUUUCCUUUUCUGUGGCUACAUAACUUAUCAUGAUUAUAUAUUCAGUAUCUUGCAUACUACUUGGUAUUCGUUGGUCUACUCUACUCUUGUUUCAUCUUGUAGCAUCAUGAUUGAUCUAGUUGUAAAGUAACAUUUUAGUGAUUGAUUAUCAUUGCAUGACUCCAUGAUCGGUGACAUUCAUACAUAGUGAUACGGUUAUAUAGACCUUAUAGGUUAGUGACACGGUGAUAUUCCUUCGGGAAUAUCAGACCUGGUUUGAUUCGAUAUGGUUGUAGAUUGUUGGUUCGGCUAUCUGCCGUUGUUGGCCGUUGAGCAUAUUGCAUCGAUCGCCAUAGCUUAUGAGUAUUUCAUGUACACCAGCGGUCUGAUCCACCGCAAGAGGAUAUUCUUUUCCAGAAAAUUAGUCGUACUUCUGACCCGUGAACUCUAGCGGCCUAUUGCUAGGGCCAUAUGCCAUUUAGAGCAGGCGUGGCAUUGCCUCAGGUUUUUAGACCAAUACGGCAGUUAAUUGGGUGUACUUGUACUAUUGAUUUUAGUUGACGCGUAGUUGUUUCUCCAUCUUCCUUUGUAGUUGCGGUUGUUCAUACUAUUGUUGCAGUUAUUUUCAGUUCAGUUAUCGUUGCUACCGCUCUAUUUUGACUGCUGAUUAUAGUUGUUCGUUACUUUAUUAUCUCACUUUACAGUAGUAGCUUGUUUUGUGAUUAUUGGUAGUUGUUAUUCAUUAUUAUUAUACCUGAAUUUGUUAUUACUAUUGUCAUUCCUUCCGUCUGCCGGUGUGUACAACUUACUAAUCGUCAGCUUACGAUACCUACUUGGAGGGGGAGACUUAUUUAUAUGCUCUCAGCCCCUAACUAUUUUUCAGGUAGCUCGGGUGAUGAGGGUCCAGACGGUGUGUGAGGACGAUUCUAGAUAGCGGUGUUUCGGAUUGGUCCCUUGUCGACAUCCACAUUCGUAGCCCUAGCUUAGUUCUCGAGUUUUGUUAUUAGUGUGGAUCUUUUCGUUGGUUUAGUAUGUAUCUACUAAUUAGAAAUAGUGAUUACAUGGUGGAUCUAAUCUUUGGUCAUCUGAUUUUUAUGCGGAUUAUUAGUUUUCCGCAAUUAUCUCCUUAUUAUAGUUAUUGUAUCUCUGUAUGAUUGUGGUGUGGUUGAUGUUUGUACUCUUGUGCUACACCGUGCACGUAUAGAAGAGGUCUAUGUGGUGGGUUUGUGUGCGCCAUGAGAGAUUUUUAAGGGUGUUAAAACAAAAAAUUAUGCGUUUUCCGCUUGUUUUUUCUUAAAAGGAUUCUCAAAAGAAUCCCGGGCGUGACAUUAUAAGUUUAUAACUAUAAUGUACAUAAGAGUAUUUUGAAAAAUUUUUAAUUAGUUAUAAUAUAAUUUUUUAAUCUUAAAAUUUUUAACAAUUAUAUAUUUUAAUUGAGUGAAAUAUUGUCUACCCGCUGCGAACCACAGUGUAACGCACUGGACCUUGCAAAUUGUGGGGUUCGAGUGAUUGAGUGCGUUCUGAACUUUUCCAGACUUUCUGGUAGGUCGUUGACUGUGUUCCGACCUAUGGUUCGAGUCCCGAGAAUUGUGGUUUAAAACCUUGCAUCAAAAUCCAAAAAUUUGGAUUUUUGGUCAGCUCUCGGAUAGCCUUCAGCAGGCCAUGUACCGGUACGAGUUCACUUGUUGUACCGGUACGGGGUUGAUGGCUGUACCGGUAUGGGCCCGCGUACCGGUACACAGACGGCUUUUCGGCCAAACCCGAGGCUCGGGUUUGCGUUUUCGUGGGUUGUGUACCGGUAUACAAACCCGUGUACCGGUACACAGUGCAGAUUGGGGCUGUUUCGUGGAGGGGUGUUUUUGCAAUUGUUGCAACACCUUUAUAAGUGACCCCAGCCCCCUUGGCUGCUCUCCUUGAGCUCUAAACAGGGAGAACAAGGUGAGUCUUCUCCUCUUGGUUUGAUCUCCAUUUUUUGGUGGUUUUUAUGGGUUUUGAUCUCUCUCCUUCUCUCCUUUUUGCUUUUUGCGGGUUUGCGACCAUUGGAGAAGCUUGAGAUCUUGGUGGGAGCUUAUUUGGAGAUCGUUUUACUACUUGCCAUUGUGCUCAUUCGCACAUGCUUGUGAGGGUCGCUCCCUACAAGCCGGCAUUCCGGAGAUAGCCAUCGCGAUUCAUAUUCGCCGUGCGGAAUUGAGCGCCGAAGUGGAUUGCCGCGGGACAGGCUUAUUCCUAGGGUGGGGAUGAUGACUACCACGGGGCCAUUAGGCUCGGCACCGGCCAGACAGCCUACGGAUGGAUUUUAGGGCCAUAGACAGCCUUCGGGUGGGUCUCUUCAGAUUUGACUUUGAGUAUUCAUUAUGACAUGUGGACAGAUGAUGACUUAGCGUACUACUUGGACAUUGACUAGAAUAGUAAACAACGAAACUUUACUAUUUCGCAUUGUGAACAUUAUGAUAGUUGGAGACUUUUACUUCAUGCAUAGUUGCUUCAUAUUUAUGCUAUUUAUGCUAAGUAGAGAUAUCAUGUUGUAGUAAGUUACAUUUUUACUUACCUUUCGCUUUUUUAUAUUUAUAGUCACUGACAUCUUUUGUAGCUUUGGGCCUUGUGGUGCAUUCACUGAAGUCAGUAAUUGCCCACUGGGAACUAUUUUUAAUAGUUCUCACGCCCUCGUUUUAUUGUUUACUUUUCAGAGCCUUCGGCACCGGCGGAGGCACGGGAUCGCGGCAAGGGGAUCGCUUAGUUAGCUAGUGAGGAGCGGUAUUUUGCCUAGGUGGUUUACUCUUUCUUUUGUAGUUGAGAGAGUGAGAGAUUUUUGUAUCCAUGUAUAGAGACCACCUAUAUAUCUACCUAUAGCACUUGUAUCUGGAAUUUUUUUGUAUCACUUUAUGAUUUAUUUAGUAGAUUUACAGUUUUAUCCUUAUCCCUUAUUGUAGCAUUUAGACAUUUAUUAUGCUCUGAUACUCCUAAAUGUCUUUUAUUAUUACUUUUAUUAUUGUUGUUUUUAGACGCCUUAUAUGUUGUAGACAUAUGGCGGGUCUGGGCACGCGCCGGGCGGGCUUCCGCUGGGUCCCGGGGCGUGACACACAGACCCUACACUAGUACAUAACGAAGAGGGACGGCAUACUUCUCUCACACGGUCCGAUCUCAUAGACCGUGUGCUGCGCUCAAGAUACGUGCCGUGUGUUUCACCUUUUGGGUUUUGAUUUCUGCUCUUUUUGAGCAGAAAACGAAACAAAAAAUUUUUCAAGAAUCCGUAAAAAAAAUUUUUAGAAAAAUUUUACAGACAACCAAAUAUUCGGAAAUUCGGGACAGUUUUAUAAGCAACCAAAUAAAUCCUAACUGAAAAAAUAUUUUCAUACCGAAUCAGCCAUACUGGGUUGGUUUAUGGGUCGGAGGUUAGUUUAUGGGUCGGAUUUUAUACAACGGAUUUGGGUUUCGGACCGACUCUUUUAAGUGGAAAAACAAAACAAAACAAAACAAAACCCUAUGGCAGUCUCUCUCAAUCAACCGACCUCUCCCAUCCGUCCGCUCGAUCGCUCCCUCUCUCUCUCACUCUUCCAAGAAGAACUGAAGAAGCAAAGGCAGCGGCGAGCGGCGACAAGGCGCAGUUACCGGUAGCCGACGAGUGCGGAGAUCGAGCGAGCGGCCCCCCCUUCUCCCUUUCCCCUCUGCGUAGGCGAGCCAGCCCUCCAACCUCGUUCCUUUCUCCGUGCGUGUGAGAUCUCUCUCUCUCUCUCUCUCUCUCUCUCUCUCUCUCUGUGUGUGUGUGUGUGUGUGUGUGUGUGUGUGUGUGUGGUGUGUGCGGUGUCCUCCCAGAUCUCUAUAUCUCCCUGUGUGUGUGAUUUCCAUUUCCUCCCUAAACUAUAAGUCAUUUUGCAGUAGGCCCUCAACCGUCAACAUUCGACAAUCACUCCCGCAGUAAAGGAGUUUUACAAGUUUAUGAAGUUUGACCUCCGUUAGAUAAUCUCCAAAACAACAAGCGUGAAUCUAAUUUAGGUGCAUGCUUAUUUUUUUAAUCAUAAGAAUUUAAGUCCUGAAGGUUGUUAUAUGUAACAAUUUAGUCCUUUCCCAAGUACACUGUAGACUAGGCGCCUCGCAAGAAUUAGCAUCAGACUUUGCAUUUUAGAAUAGAAACUUUGAGGAGUUACUUAUAAUUGGAAUCAAACUUCAGCCCUAAAUUAUUUAUGUUUUUGAUUAAUUUGUUCUAUUACGUUUUUGAAACAAAACUCUAAUUUAUUUUUUUUCUACUUAAUGUCUAAGAGUAAACUGCUAAUUAUUAGUUUAGUAAGUACAUGUGUGCAUAUGAGCUCUGUUAUUUGAAGUUAAUUAUUUCAAUUUGUGAAUUUUUAGUUGUUACUUUAAUUAUUUUGCCUUGUUAGGAAGCAUUUAUAUAUAUGUUUGGUACCUAGAAAUAUAUUUUUGUAUAUUUUAAUAGCUGGACUGUAUGUGCGCCCGCUUACCGCAUACCCACUAUACGGUGGGUAACCGCAUGGAUACUGCAUACUGUAUUUUGGAACGUUGAUUAUCAGUACAGAUGCUUUGAGUUUGGGGGUGAAUAUCUCUACAUAAUUAUGUUAAAAGAAUUAUAAUACAUAAUUACACUAUUGGUGUUAUUUCACAAAUUUACGUUAAAAGCAUUAUAAUACCAUUUAAUUUCACUUGACUUUAGAACUGAUUAGGCAAACUCCUCAACCAAUUUAAACUGAUUUAGAAGUGACACCGAAAAACUAUAUAACACAAGAGUUUUGUUGUGUAAGGUUUAUUGCUAGGGAACAAAAAUCCAUAAACUGGUACGGUAAACGCCCCUACUAGGGUCUACAGAGGAUGGCAAGCAGUGUCGUUGAGAAGACGGUGGAGGAGCUUCGCAAGGAGAUUCAAGAGCUCCAUCGCCAGCAACGAGAGGUCUCUUGAUUUCUCUCUCUAUUUUUAUUUACAUGCAUUAGAACUUGUGUUUAAGUUCCUUCAUAAUCUCUUUCUUGACCCUUAUCAGUCUUUGCUCUUUGCAGAUCAGUGAGAGACUCCGAGACCCGAGAGGCCUCCGUCGCUCUGGUGUGGCCUCUGGCAGUCCCCGCCCAAUUGGAGGAGGUCCCCGCACUCGCAGUCUCAUUCGACCAGUACAAUCUACUUGUUCUUCUUCUGACUUUAUAUUAGUUCUAUUUCUUUUUAUGUGAAAAUACUUGAUGCAUCUCAGGCGGUAGCGGCAGAAUCUGAGUACCAGCCACCACCUAAACGAAGGCUUUUAUCGACUGUUGUGAAGGUAUUUAGCAUACAAAACUAAUUUCUUGAUGUUGUUUUUGCCCCAAAGUCAAUAAUUUCUUUGCUUGGGUUAUUUUGUUACUGGAGACUGAUGGAGAAGAGGAUAAAGUGGAUGACAGCGGAACAAAGGAUGAGAAGGAGCUCAUUGUAGAAGAAGAGGCUGAUGUUUUUGGGGGCAAAAAUAGCAAGCCAGCUGCUUCAAAUGCACAUGGCAAUGGCAGGCUCAGGCGGGAUGGCAAUCUGCAGUCACGAAAGAUAGUGAGGAGCCGCUUUACUUCUUGAAUUGUUUUUCUUUUAUUCAAAUGGUUAGGUUGGUUUCUUAUUAUUGUCAGGACUAUGAUAUUCCUCCCCCUGAACCACUUCCUAGAGUAUUUCCAAAGGAUGAGGAUCCUAAGUUGGUCAAGAGGAAUAGAAGAAUGCUAGGGCAGCUUUUGGGCACGUUGGAGGUACUAUCUUCCUUUUUCCCUUUUAUAAACAUCUUGUAUUUUUCCUUUACAUGAGGCAUGUCUUAGGUUCUCAUCCUUUAGUUCUUUCCAAAUAGUAAAUUGGUCUACAUUGAAUUUGUAAUGUAGUUCUUGUUCUUCCAAUCUGAUGCAUCGUACGCAAUCUUCAAAUACUAGUAGCAUAAGUUGGAGAUUAAUAUGAUCAAAUUUCAGCUCUAUAUUCAACAAUAAAGUAUUGAACUACAAUAAUGACAGGCUAAAGAAGAUGGAUUGCUGAUCCGGUUGAUUUAUUGUUUCCAAAAGAAAACAUAUUCAGCAGUAUAUAUUAAAAAUUAAUAUAUCUAAUCAUGCAAAGAGGACUGCAAUAUUUGUUUCUUUCAUUUGGUUUAAGUUGAGAUUGCAAAUAGUUUUUGAUUAAAGUCUUGAGAUAGCAUAAUGCAAUGGGCUUUGUUAAAAAAAAAGUAUAGAAUUGAAAAUUUGGUUUCAACUUUGAAAUUGAGUCAGAGUUGUCUUUCAAGCCUCAAGCCUCACAAAAAAUAUAUUAUUGAGCUAAGCAAGGGUAUCACCUAGGUACCCAAAGUCAGAAUCGCUAAAGAGGAUGGAACUUGAGCAGGAAAGGAUCAAGGAGUUAAGUGCCGUGGUACAGGGUCGUGCCGGAAACUUGCUGGCAUGGUACGGCCAGAGUUUGAAAAGGCGCGUUUGAGGCGCGCGCCUCAGCGCCUAGGCGCGAGGCGCGGGCCUCCGCGCCUCAGCAAUAGCGAGGCGAGGUGAGGCGCUAUUGUUGAGGUGUGCGCCUAGGCCCUGAGGUGCGCGCCUCAGGCGAGGCGCGAGGUGCACAGAAGGCGUGCGCCUCGGCAUAUUUAAUAUUUUUUGGAUUUUGGAUUAAAGUUUUCGGGUUAUUGGGUUUCAGAUAUAAAUUUUAUGUUUUAGCCCGAUAAGAUUAGUAAAGGAAUCUAAAAGAAAUCUAAAAAAACCCUAAUGAAAUUCAUCUACUGCCCUCUCCUCCUACCACUCUCUCCUUUUACCGCCUUUUUCUCCUUCUUGAGGCCAAAUGAAAACAUUGGCACUACAAUCACUUUUAAGUUGAAGUCGAAAUAUAUUUUUUUUAACUUGAGAACCUAUAUGCAUGUGUUUUCUUUACUUUUUUAUAGUUAUUUUAGUUUUGUAUAGUUAUUUUGGAGUUUUUUUAAUGUAGAAUAUCAAAUUAAAUUACUGUGCGCCUCGCCUUCUUGAGGCGCGCGCCUCGCAGUGUGCCUCGCGCCUAGGGUCCAGGAGAGUUUUGCACCUUUUUGCGCCUCGCGCCUUUUCAAACAUUGGGUACGGCACGGUGUGUGCCGGGCCAUACCAAUGACUGCCGGUCACAAAAAAUUUAUGUAUGCCGACACGUAAUGGCACGAAAUAUUUAUUUUCUUUAGCAACAAAUAUGCCAAUUAUUUAUUAUGUAUUUUUAUCAAAUCUUUUGAACUUUUUGAGAAAAUUACUUAUUAAUUUUAAGAAUAGAGGGUUUUGAGUACGGGGGCUGUAUCGUGCCUUUGUCUUGCUGGCAUGAUACGGCACGGUGGAUACGGCCCGUGUCGAUGGACACUUUAAUCCUCGGAAAGCAGGAUGUUUAAGUUUGUCAAUGUUUGAAGGUAUGACAUCUGAUUGUUUGUUGUUGGACACUUAGUAUAGAAUGUUUGUUUAAAAUCUAAUUUGUUAUAUGUUGCUAAAUUCUGUGUGGUUGAGGUUAUGCUUAUCGCUUGCAAAGCCUUUUUUGUUACAUGAUCUGUUAUCUGUGUUGCAUAGAUACGGAUAUGGGGAUACGAAUACAACACAAUAUUGAUAUGGUAAUACGAGAAUUAGUAAAUACUCUAGGAUAUGAUACACGGGGGAUACGUGAAUAACAUAUUAUUUUAAAUAUAUUUGAAUGUAUGUUGACUAUAUGUAAUGAUAUAAUGGAUAGUCAGGGUACCUGGAUUAUAUGAAGAGACAUGUACAUUAGCUCAUACAAUUAUUCUGGGUUUGUGACUUUGUUCAUUAAAAAGGAUAAUCAAUCGCAUGAUAUCAUAAUUUAAAGACUAUUAACAACUAUCAUCCAAUUUGACCAAAUGAUAACAGUAUAUAUUUAGUUGCACAAACUAGAUAAUUAGUCAUUCAUUAUAUAUGUCUGUUUCCAAAUAGCAUUAGGUUCUAUUAUAUGAAACAUUAACAAAAGGAAAUAUGCUAACCUACGCGUCAUGGACGUGGGGUUCCGCCCUGCAUAUCUGCAUUAGACGCGCGUCUGAUGCGUAUGCAGCAUGGAGGCGCAUGCGACGCACGUCCAUGCCGAAUCUUGCAAGUUGCAAAACGCAACUAAUAAGGAACUAAUUAGUUCCGAUGGGAAAAAAAUAUGGUAUUGCCAUGUCAUAAAAUAAAUUAAUAAAAGAACAUAUAGUUUGAAAAAAAAGGAAAGGCAUUGUAUUUUGGAAAAAAAUCUGAUUAAAAAAUUAUAUAGCCUAAUAAAAAAAAUCAUCUAUCUCAUCUCACUGUUGAGUUUCUCUUCAACAAAGCCUCUAAAGGUGUUCUCUUUUUCCAUCUCUUUUUUGCAUUAGUGCUAUAAUUUUUUUUGAAUUAGAAUUUAUUUUUGCAUUAUGAUUAUUUUUUAAUUAGGGUUAUACUUUUUAUUUUUUAGCUUAAUUUUUUUACAUUCGUGUUAUAAUAGGAGUACAUUUUUUAUUUUACUUUUUAUUGGGCAUAAGAAAUAUUUGAUGGUAAGCAUUUUGGCUUUUUUUUUUUUUAGAGGAUCUAAUAAAUCAUAUUUGGUGGAGUUUUUUUUUUUUAAAUAUUAUAUUAACUUUCAUUCGUAUAAGAAAUAUAGUGUUUUUUUUUUGCAAAAUUAAUAUAUCAUAUAUAAUGAAUAUGUAUUGUUAUACUAAAUAUAUUAUAUUUUAUUAGCCGUGUCCUUGCCGUUUUGUAUCCUUAUAUUUUGAAAUUUGCUGAGUCACAGUGUCCAAGUCGUGUCGUGUCUGUGUCUGUGUCCGCGCCCGCGACACAUAUAUGCUAACACUUUAAUAUAAACAAAAAAAAAAACCAUUCUCUAUGGCCCUUGCUAGUUAGUAUGACCAAUUACAUAGAAAAGUAGACAACUAAACCCUUAAGGCCUGAACUAUAGCAGGGGGGGGGGGGGGGNGAGAGAGAGAGAGAGGGGGGGGGGGGGCGAGAGAGAGAGAGAGAGCCUUCCCCAUCCGUGAGCAAAAAUUUAAGGAAAUGACAUAUUGAAGAGAGAUUAGCAUUUCCCCUACUCUUUUCCUUAUUUCCUAUGGGUUAGGACAUGGGAUUUUCAAAAAAUUUUGAGUUAUGAUCCUUUUAGACUAAAAAGAACUUGGCUAUAUCUUGCUGUAUUCCACACCUGUAUGCUCCCCUAUUUGAGCUGUAUUUGGUAUUGUUUUUAUUUUUAAAAAAUUUCAAAUACUCCAAUCAUGUAUUAGACCCCUAUCGGGCACAUUUCAGGUGCGUAGCCAAAUUCGAUACAUAUCCGAUGCACGAGCAACGUGUAAAUUUAAGUAUCGUGCUUUAUAGUCUGUUUUAAUAUGAUCAUGAAAUUGAUUGAAAACUAAAUGCUUAUAUUAUGAAAUCAUCUUAGGGCUGCUAGAGGCCAAUAUAAAUAUCGUUCAUUGUCGUGUCCUUGACCCAUUGAAAUGCUAAAACAUAGGUGCAUAAAUUUCUCGUGCGUAGGCGAAAAAAAAGGAAAGGAAAAAAAAAUAAAUCUAGCUGGAAGUAGUGCAAGUUCCACUCUAACAAUAUUUGGGUCAGGAUGGCUAGAUGCAUCAACUAAUUUACGAGUAGAACUGCCUUGAGAAUGGUAAGUAGAGUAGAACUACCUUGAGAAUGGUAAGUUUGACCUAUUACUGCUGUGCUGUUAACUGGCAUUAAGUUUUGGGAUUACUAACCCGCUUUUAAUACCUUUUAUAUCGAACUUCAUAUGUAUACAGAUGGAAAGAACAUUUGGUGAUCAAUAUAAUCAUCUUUUAGCAUCAAUAUUUUGAAAUCAAUAUAGUAAGCUAGCAAAUUCCUGGCAAUAAAUAUUCAAUAUCUAGAAAUUAAAGUACUUAGUCUGAUAAUGUCAUUCAAUAUUGGCAUAUGAAAGUCUCGAACAAGGAAUCUGGAAAAAAACCCAACAAAUAAUAUCCCAAAAUGAAUCCACAAAUCAUAUUCUAAAGGUUGAACUAAGAGCUUUUUUGAUAUGAGAGUUUAAUAUGGCGAGUAGAUUUUAGGAUAAUCAUGAAGAUUUUGAUUGGGUAAAAAAAUUGUUUAAGUUUUAAACAUAUAUAGCAAAUAAUUUGAACAUAUGAGGUCUACUACAAAGGAGGGGAUUGAAGUUGUUUUCCAAAUUUGAAGGUAAGGACGUGAGCGAACAGUGAGGAGGAAGAAGUGUCUCAUCUUUACAACCAAUAGAAAUUGAUCUUUUGAUUGAUCUUCAAAAUACUUCCUUUUUUUAGGUAGGGCUUUUCUGUUUGAAAGGAAAGAUGAUUAGAAUCUUAAAAGUAGAUAACAUCAGAAGAGCGAUAGAGUUCGGUGCUAUGGAAGCACAAGAGAGAAAAAAAGAAGAAGAAAAGUUAGGCUUGCCUUUUUUAUACUUUUGUGGAAUAAAUUCUUGGGAUGUAUCCUCGCUCCUUACUGUCCUCUUGCACCUUACCAUCCUCCCUCUCUAUGUUUGAAGAAAACUAUUUAAGAACAAGUCGAACUCUUUCUACAAUUUAUCACGCUUAUACUAGGUGGAAAAAUAUUCCCUCCAACAGGUCUUGAACCUAUACCAAAGGCUUAGAAGACUUCUAUCCUAUCCAUUAGACAAUCCACUUCAUUCCUAUUUUCUUCUUCCGUAUUUUUUCUCUUGUUUAGAUAAAAAAAUGAUUGCAUAGAAAAAAUUUUUGGGAAUAGGAAAAGGAUGCAUAUCAAAAUGAUUGACGCAUGCAUAGUUAAGAUUAUGGAGCAGGUAGUGAGAAUUGAUUCUGCAUCGUUAGCCUGGAAGGAUAAAGUUAUAGUUGACGUUGGUUUUUCUAUAGUUAAAACGAGCAAACAUCUCAUAUGGGCCAUCAAAAAAUUGUCUAUUUUUAAUGUCUUAUCUUUGAGAAUGACUUCACAGCAAAACAAACCAUUUAAUCUUAGGGUGCGUGCGUUAAGUUUGUGCUAUCUUAUUUGCAUUCUCAAGAAUUCGCUAUAUACUAUAGCGCUUGUGUAAUCCCAUUUGAUAUUGGUUAGUAUUUUUCAUUCUGAAACAUCGGUUGAUCUUUGAACUUCUGGUUAAAUUUCAUUUAGGUUACCAAACUUCAAUUUGUCUCAUUUUAGGCGCUAACUUUACUUUUUAUUUCAAUCAGGUUAUUUUGUUAGACUUUGUAUAAUGUUUCAAACAAAACGACAAAAUGACAGCUAAUUCAGUUACCACAUCAUCUUCUAGAGAUGACAUGACUAUUAAUUUAUUUCUUGGAGAUAGUUGGACAGGCUACUCAUUUGUAAAAUCAGCUUUUCUAUAUGCUGUAAUAGUUGAAUAAUAGUAAUUUUAAGAUGGUAUAGCCAAGGAUUUAAGUACCUAUCGGCACGGGCCGUAUUUAUGGUACUAUAUCGUGCCAAGAAGAUAUUGGCACAAUACAGCCUCCAUGCCCAUGGCAUAGUUCAAAACCCUUUUUUACUUUAAAUUAGUAAGUAAUUUUUUCAAUAAAGUUUAAAAAAUUUGAUAAAGAUACAUAAUAAGUAACUAGAAUAAUUUGUUGCUAAAGAAAAUAAAUUUUUCAUAUCAUUAUGUGUCGGCAUACAUGUAUUUUUUGUGACCGGUACGCAUAGGUACGGCCUGACACGUAUUGUGUUGUACCGUGCCAGCAAGUUUAUGACACGAUUCUGCGCCACGACACUUAAAUCCUUGGGUAUAGCAAUUGAAAUGAUUAGCAGUCAUUACCAUGCUAUGUUACACGGACACAAACGUGGGACACGGGGCACAACAUGACUCGGACACGAUGACUCGACAACUUCAAAUAAAUUAGAAGAUGGACUCGGCAAAGCGAACAUUAAAAUAUUUUUUUAAAUACAAAUAUUCUGUAUAUAUUAUAUACAAAAAAUAUAAUAUUUUAAAAUUAGUAAAUAAACUCUAAUUAUAUGCCUUACAAAGCUGGUGCAUGAAUUGGAGAUCUUUUGUAUUGGUUAAUUAGUAGACUCAUUCAUAACAUACAACACAACAAAUUUCGAACCUAAGUUAAUAGAUGUGUCAUAUGACAUUGAAAAAAAAUUUAUAUAUCACAAUUUGUAAAAUUUUGGAUUUUUUUUUUUGAACAACUGUCUUUUUAAUACUGUUGUUUCUUGAAACCAAGGAUUCAAGUGCUGUCCUAUGCCGUACGGCAUGGGGCGGCAUGUACUGUGCCCCUAAUAUAGGGGCAUAAUAGGGCCCCCUUGUGCCGUGAUACCUGCGGGGUAUCGUGGCACAGCAUCAUGUGGGUUUUAUUUUAUUUUAUUUUCCUGUUGUGGUUUUUUUCUCUUAUUGCACCCCCUUCUCUCCCCACAAACUGCGCGAUACCGACUAUGUAUCGCGCGAGACAGAGCGAUACCCUUGCGGGUAUGGCGGCACAGCAUCGUGCCGAUUUUAUUUUAUUUUAUUUAUUUUUUUGUUCUGGUUUUUUCCCUCUUUUUUCUUUUUUUGCACACCCCCGGUGAUACCCCUGGGGUGCAGGUAUCGCGGCAGAGUAUCAUGUCAGUUUUAUUUUAUUUUUUUGGUGUGGUUUUUUUUUCUUUUUUUGCACACUCCCGCCCCCUUCCCCCUCCCGAAACCCAACAACCAAAACCCCACUGUGCUGCCCGUGGGGAGUGGGAAUUUUUUAAUUUUCCUCUUCUUUUCUUUUGGUGGGCCUUUGUGUUCUCUUCUUUUCCUUCUGUCACUUAAAAAAGAGGCAAAAAAAUUGCAAAUAAAAAAUCUACUUAUUAUGUCAGUAAAAAAGUUAUAACUUAAAAUUUUGUUUAUAUAUUUUGAAUAUUUUUAAUUUGUAAAGCUUAUUUUUUGAAGAAAUAUAAAAUUAGGCAAUUUUAAUUUAUUGUUAUAAAAAGUUAAAAAUAUAUCUUCUUGAUUUGAUUAUUAUAUAGUCAAAAUUUUAAUUUUCAGAUUCGAUCCGUACCACCGGGGGCUCAGCCCGAGCCCUCCGUUGCCACCGGAGACAUCCACUUUUUCUUUAUCUAACAUAAAAUUCUAUUUUGAAGUAAGAAAAUUAAACAUACUGAUAAAAUUAUAGACUAAAUUAAAUCAAUUGAUACUUAAAUUUAUUUAAUUUAUUCGUCAUAUAAUUUUUUUCUAAAUUUUAUGAUAUAUUUAACAAAUUAUUAUGAUCCACCGCGACGAUUUAUGUGGAAUUAAGUAGUCAUUUUUCUGUAAAGAUGUAAAUUAUAUAAUUAUUGUAUUUGUGAAUUUUAUUAUUGUAUUUUAAUUUUUAUUUUCUAUAAGAUAUAUUUGUACUUUGCAUAUAAAAGAGUUUAUCAGUAUGUUAAUUGGUGAGUAUAGUAAGCUAUACAUAGCCAAUAUUUAAUUAUUUGACUAAAUCUUUCAAAAUAACAUUAUAAGAGUUUAUUGGGACCAAAAAAAUAAAAAUAAGUUCAUGCCAAAGCGUGCUGUUAGGAGGUCAUGUGUAUCCAUUGGUACGAAAGUCUGCCACGUGUCGGUACGGAAGCGUACCUGUGCCGUGCCGUGCCGUGCAGUGCAAAUAGCGGCAUACCCCCGUGCUACGACACUUUAAUCCUUGCUUGAAACUACUUAACAUCUAAGUAUUAGAUUUUUCAAAAUUGAGAUUUUUUUACGUAUUUCUUUAAAUAUUAUAAAUAUAUUUGUCAAAUUACAUUUUAAUUUUAAAGCAUUAAUUAUAUAUUGAUUGUGGCAUAUAAUAGAUAUACACCGGGUGCAGUCCCGUUAUUAAAAUCCUUGGAACUCUUCCUACGCAGAGACGGCUUGUAUGAUGCACAUGAGUCCCUGAAGUGUCUUUUUUUUUUUUUUUUUUUUUUUUUCUGUCCCGGACAUGCAGCAGGCACGCGUCAUUGCACGUCGCGUUUGACUUGCGUUGGAUGCGGAUGCAGCUCCCUUGGAGCCGCAUCAUGUAACCUUGUUACCAUGUCAUUAUUUUUUUGAUAGCUGAAUUAGUUGCUACUUCAUUGCUUUACCAGAAAAGUCAAUCAAAAUAUGAGUGGUGACUUAAUUUAAAUAGAAAUUAAAGUUUAGUGAUUUGAUUGAAACAAAUUGACGUUUAGUGAUUCAAUUGAAAUUGAAAUUAAAGUUUAGUGACUUGAUUGAAACAAAUUAAAGUUUAUUGAGGUGCAUAAUUUUGCAAGAAAGUCGGUGACUAAGGGUGUAAUUUACCCAAAUGAAUUCUUGUUUAGUUCUUUGUUGUUGCAACAUUUUGCACAGUAUGUUCUGUUUCAUUUUCCACUAGUUACAAUUCGUGAAACUCUAUUUGAUUAUAGUUUUCUUUAAAAUGUUGAUCAUUGUCCAGAAAUUUCGGGAAGAGGACAAGCAAUUAUCAUCUACGGAGGCUUUCAUGCGUAGAUCAGAUUCUUUACGAAGGGUGAGGAGCUCUUUGCCUUCUCUGACUAUUUUAUUUCCUCUAUAGUUACUUUAGACUGAAAUCAGAGGUUUUCUGGUGCAGUUUUCUUGCACAGUAUGAAUAUGUAUUUAUGGCUGAAUAUUACUAAAUUGGAAUUUUCCCGUACAAAUCCGUGCGUAACAGAUAUGAGUAAGAGCCACUCUGUCCAUGACUGGAUUUGAAUUGCAGGAAGCUUACAGGAAUAGAAUGAAUUGCUCACUACAUAACUGACCAUAUAUUCUCCACUGUCAAAUAAUUAUUAGUGAAGGGUUGAACUACUGGAAAAGCAUAGAAAAUUCUGUCUUUCAUCUGUGAAACUGGAACAACAUAGCCUACUAUAUAAUAUUUCUUAAUUAUCAUCAUUCCUCUUUAAUAUUACACAUUUGUGGGUGCCUAAUAACUGCCAUCAUGUGCCUAAAUCAUUAUAUACAUGAAAUUGUAUUUUGACUGCUCACUUUGAUUGUAUUGGCAAGAGGUAUAACAUCUUGGCCUUCAAUUGUCAUGAAUGGUAGUGGCAUUUCACCGUCAACAAAUUACCAUGUACUUUAUGGAACCUUUCAAGUUGUAGCUGAAGUAUAUUAUUGCUGUUUUCUGUUGAACAGUUGACAGUAGAAUAAAUAAGACAUCUGUAAAGGAUAUUCUGGGUAUGUUAAUGAGAGUGGUGCUUUGAGGUGCUAUUUUUCUUCCCAACAGUUUUAGAAAGCUAUUGUGCUCAAGCUACAAUCUUUCUUAAUAUCACUUACGUUAUGGGUUUACGUUAGAUGCUUCUGUUUUGGGGUUAUGUAGAUAUUUUAUGAACGCAAGAAGGGUGUAUUGUUGGCAUACUUGGCGGUGAUUUUACUUGUUGCCGGCGCAAGAAUCUAUUUAAUGUGUAUACUAGUUGUGAACCUGCAUGUCAUGCAGGAAUGGAUUUGGUUUUAUUCUAAUAUUAAAAAAUAAUGAGAGAUGUACUGAAGAUCUUUGAAGAGAAUAAAAAUAAGAGAAAUUUAAAUCACAUAGAAAAAUAUUCUCUCUAAUUGCACUUUUAGCACAUUAUUGUAUAAUUUGGUAGUUCUUUAGAAAAUUUGUAGCACUAAUGGCCAGGGUAUAUUCACUGUUAUAUUUCUCAUAGUAUACUGGGAUAACUUUAUCAAGAAAUUAUUCCUUUUGGAAGGUAUAUUCUGUUUUUCUAUGAUGGUGACAUGCAAAAGAUGAAAAUGACAUUUGAAUAGAACAAGCUGGUUCCUGGUGAGUUUGCCCGGUGGCGUGUGUUGUGAAGGUCACCUUCCAUUCUGCCAAUCUGCACUUUCAGUGCAAACUCUGCACUUUAAACAGAAUUGAACCUCCGAAGUCUGUUUCGCACCGUUUUCGAGUCGAAAAACACUCGGUCGACUCUCAAACACCCUUAAAAUUAUUGGAAUGGUUUCUUAUCUUUUUUUUACUUACUAGAACUUUGCAAUCUGUGAUAGUUCAGUGGAUUACAAUGGAUUUCAAGAUAGCAAAUAACUGAUAGCCUGCCCAUUGGCGGGCAGGUGGAUUAAAUUUGUUAAGAAAUUAUAUUUUGCAUGCAUUCCAUUCCAAAUUUAGUUCUUAGGUAUCCCGAAACAACUCUUUGUACUGCGUUGUCAUAUCCUAAAGAUCUUUUAAAACGGGAAAAUAGAAUAGAUGAAAAAGGAACUUCGUGCUGCAAAAAUAUAAAUUUGGAGCAUUAAUUUCGUAUUUUAUUUUUCUUUAUUAUAAUGAGGUUGUACUUAGUUAAGUUGGAAGACAGCAUUGCUUGGUAAAUAUGAUGAAAAUCUUCAACUGCACACAGGCUGAACAGAAGGCACAGGAGGAAAGUGAAAGGUUACGACAGCAAGAACGAGAACAAAUUGCAGAGAAACGCAGGCGUGAUUUGGUGAAUUUUCUUCGACACUUUAACAUUCUUUCCGGCAUACAUUAUUGGGUGUAAAUGUAUAGAGACCCCUUCAGCUAUAGGCCAUUUUGAAGUAGGCCCCUCACUUUUACUUUUUCUGAUUGACGCUGCCUUAACUUCUAUUUUAUUUUCUUUUAUUUUAUUUUUUUCAAUUGAGUUAUGCUAGUUAAGUUGAAAAUCUUGUUAAAAGUUAAUGGCUCUAUUAGCUAUAGCCAUUAAUUGCUUCAACUUUAGGUGGUUAAACACAUUAAAUUUAAUGGAAUUGGUAAUGAUUUGAUAUAAUCCCUAAUUUAUUUGGCUAAAAUCAUUCAAUUCUGAAAGAAUAGAAAUAUGGUAUGUCAAUCAAAAAAAGUUUUGAGGGGCCAAUGAAAUGGCCUGUAGUUGAGGGGGUCUCGAUGUGUUUACACUGAUAUUUUCAAUGUGCAGGUUGUUUACUUUGCUUUCAUAUAUAUUAAAAAAUGAUGUGCUUUUGGAAUUCAGAUUCUGCGUGCUCGUGUUGCUGCUAAGGCCGAGCAAAAGAGGUUGGAGCUGCUGUUUAUUAUCUGGGCUGAGCAUCACAAGAAGCUAUCCAAUUAUAUAAGGUAAGUGGCUUUGGCUGUUUUUUUUUUUUUUAACCUACAUUGCCUGCCAAAAAAUUAUUCGGCAGAGUUUUUAAAUUAUUUUGCUCUACUUUCCAGCAAUAGGUAUAAAAUCUAUACCUUAUUAUUACGACAUUAAUUUAGAGCUGUUUUGAUUUGCUGCAGGUUAUUUUUCUUUUUGGUCCAAAAUGUCCAUAUUGACAAGUAAUUCAGAAAGAUAAGUUUCUGAUUGUUUUCAAAUCUUGAUUAUCGAGACCAGAAGCUAUUGAAGUAAAUGUUAGCUCUUUGGACAAUAUUUAAGUUAGUUUUGAUGUUUUUAAUUUUUUCUUGGUUUUUUUUUUUUUUUCAGGACCAAGGCAGAGCCUCCUAUAUAUUACAUGCCAGCCAAACCGUUAAUUGAUGAUAUGACUAUCACUGAGCAGCAGAAAGAGCAGGUACUGUCGACAACUCUUUCCGUCCAUUGCUCACUCCUGAAGCUACGCAUGCAAAUGUUGUGACAUAAUAGACUUGUCAAGGCGACUAUUGACAAGAUAAAUAUUAACAAAGGAGAAACCACCAAAAUAAAACCAUAAGCCCUACACUUUCUUGGCAUAUCCGAAUUACUUACAUACCUACCCAUAUCCUGCAUGCAGUCCUCUGGAAAAACUCUUCCUGGCCAUCAUGGAAGAGGGAACACAUAUUAAUGGACUGGUUUUGGACCAAACUGGUAAUUCAAUAAUCCCUGUGGAAAAAUAGAAAUUUGCUUGCAUUAGUGAAGUUUGUCAAUGUGGUUAGGUAAUCCCUAGGUAGAAGGCCUACGGCUCGGGAUAUAAUGUGGUCCGUGCCGGCCCAACAUUUUCUGCCCGAGACCGGCCACAAAUUCCGGCCAUGGUGGGCCGGGCUAGAUUUUUUGAACCCUUGGCCCAACAUGGCAGCAUGGGCCGUGCAGGGCUCGUGCUGGCCUAGCAUUUUUUUUAUUCUUUUAAGUUUUAAAUUUUUAUUUUAAAAAAUUUACAAAAUAAAAUAUUCUAAUUUUUUUUAGCUAUUAUGGUUAAAAAAAUUAAAAGUUAAAAACUUUUAAUUUUUUCUAAAAAAUUAAAAAUUUUAAAUUUUUUCUAAAUAAUUAGAGAUUUUAAAUUUUUCUGAAAAAUUUAAGAUUUUAAACUUUUUCAAAAAAUUUUAAACUUAACAAUCAUUUAUACAAAAAUUCUAAAAUUUAAAAAAUUAUUUUGAAUAAAAGUUUAAAAAAUUUAUAAAACUUUAAAAAAUUAUUUGGAUAGAGCUUAAAAAAUUAAAUUUAAAAAUUAUUUGAAGAAAAGUUAAGAGUUUAAAAGACAUUUGGACAAUUUUAAAGUUAAAGCUAUAAUCUUAAAAUUUUUUUGUAAAAAACGACUCAGCUCCCAAGGGAGCUAGUAGGCCUAGCUCCCUUCGGAGUUGGGAGAAGAGAGCUCAACCUGGGCUCCUUUGUCCCAAGUUAUUCCCUUAUUAAGGCCUCGGGCAAGUCUAGGCCUUGGAGGUCGCGCCAUGCUGUCCUGAUCGUGUUGGGCCAUAGGCCUGGCCAUGGACUCGGCAUGGCCCAGGCUUGUUCCGGGCCGAUGGGCCUAAAAUUUUGUAGGCCCAGCAUGUCUCGAAAGUUCGGGGAAGGCUAGGUUGGGCCAUCAUGGGUUCUUCAGUACUAGUGUCGUGCCCAGGCUCGGGGUAGAACCAUGUCGGUGGGCUGCCUGACCCGUUUUACAUCCCUAGCUAUGGGGUGAAGACAGAUUGGAAAAUAUCCGAGUGUAUCCGUGCCUGUAUGCAACCUCAUCUACAUCUGAGUAGUAUAUGUUUGUAUUCAGGUCGGAUCCAGAUGUGAAUAUGGUCUUGAAUAACUGAAAAAUUCGGGUUCAAAUUUGGAUAUUCAAAAAUUAAUAUUGUGGGGGAAAAAAGGGAUAUGGGUCUGGCUCCCAUGUCAGAGCACUAGCUUUGCAUCAGUGAGAUGCUCGGUCCAAUUCCUCCCUCUAGCAUAUUUUUUAAGUUUUGCGUGUUAGUCCCUGUACUAACUACAGAUUGCUAGGAGAUCCCAAUACUAGGAGGUCCCAAUAUUGUGCACUCAAAUAAUCUAAUCCUGCAUUAUUACCUGUACAAACUAUACAUUGUUAUGAUGUCCAGAUAUUGUGCACUCAAAUACUGCAAUUCCUGCAUUUUUCACAUAUUUGUUUGUUAAAUCUUAAAUUUUAUUGAAUAAGAUAUAGGUAUGUAAAGUUUGAACGUGAGUAUGAAACUUUAAUUGCAUUGUGUCUUAUUCAGGCUAAUUCUAGUUCAUAUUCAUGUAUGUAUAUUAUCAUAUAGGGACAAUUUCACCACUACGCCGCCCAAAUAUGUAAAUAUCGUAAAUACCCCUGCAAAGUUAAAAAUAUCAUGUAUUCCCCUUCAAAUGCAAAAAAUUAUCACGAUUACCCCUGCCUCUAAAGUGCCAUCACUUUACCAUGGUUAAAUUAUAGUUAUAGAUGGGUUAAGUUAUAACACGACUAAUUUAUCCCUCAAAGGUUGGGGUGGUAUUUUUGGCAGAAAAUACUUGAGAGGCGAUUUCAUGAGUACCCUUCUAAAUUUUAAAAAUAACAUUUCUACCCUCACUGUUAGUGGGUUAUUAUAUAUGUGGAAACCCCUCCCCUAUAGGUUAUUUUGAAAUAGAUCCUAUAACUUCAAUUUUUUAACAUUAAGACCCCUUGAACCUUUAGUUUUCUUAUUCAUUGUUUUACUUAGUUUUUUAAUGAGAUCCCUCACGCAUGAAUUUGAUAACAUUUUUAAUUUAGUUGUUAAAAAACACUCAAUUGCCAAAAAAAAUGAAAAGAAACUUAGGUUGAAAUGGUGUGUAUAUGUGUGUGUGUGUGUAUAUAUGUGUGUGUGUGUGUGUGUGUGUGUACAUGUAUAUGCACAUAUAUAUGUGUAUAUACAUGUAUAUGUACAUGUGUGUGUAUAUAUAUAGUAGAGUUGAGUUAGUAUACUAUUGAUGGUAUAUGAAUAGUAUCUACUAUCAACCUUUCCACCCUUGGAUUAUUACUAUUCCACCAACCAUCACUAAACCGUAGGCAUUUAAUGGUCAAAAAAUUGAUUGUAAACACUAUUCCCAUACUAGCUUCACUGUAUAUAUGUAGUUUGGCUUGUGUGCUUUCAGAAGCCUGAUAAUGACUGUGCCUAGGCUAGUCGAAGUUGCAUAAUUAGCUUAAGUAUAGACAGACUAUGUAAGAUGCUCCUUGUCGUUCAUGCCUUUCCGUAGUGAAUCUUAAGAAGGGUGAAGAACAACAAUUUGUUUUGCAAAAUUUCGAAGUCUAUGCACCCACUUCGCGCAAUCUGUUUGCAAAAUUCCCGAGUCUAUGUGCCCCAUUUCCAGGUAUCAGAGACAGGUGAUUCUUAGUUUUCUCGUGCAUCAUACACAGGUUCUCCUAGAGUGGAAGUCGGCUCGAAGGGCCGAGCUGUCUGAAUUUCAGAAGCAAAUCGAGGAGCAGUAUGUCACGAAUGUGGAGAAGGAGCUGGAACGAUGGCAGAAUGCUCGGAAUGCUAGGAGAGCAAACAAUGCUGCUAAUCUGCAGGAGACUAUGGAUAAGGAGCUAGAGACGCACAGGCUGGAGCAUGGUCCUAAGACUCGCAGGAUACCAGGAGACGAUGAUGACGAGGAUGUGGAGGACAUCGCCGCAGAGGAUGAGCUGAUUGAUGAGGUCCUUGAUGUCGCUGAGAGGAUUGAUACUGAUGCACCGCCCAAGCUAUUCCCUGCUGGUAAUGGAAGUCCUAUCCAGACCGAGUUGCAGUAGUUGUGCGGAGUGUAGCGAGGAGGUUGUAGAAUACUUUUCAGCUGCAUUUUGUAGUCGUGAUAAGCAUGCAUGUGUUUUUUAUAGAUCAUUGUAACUCUCCUAGAUUUCCUUGGUCUUGUUGGGAAAUUGGAUUGUAGCUGGUAUUCUAUAGUGAGGUAUGCUAUCUCUCCUUAUCCGUCAACCUCUGAUUAAGACGAUUUUACAUCGAGCAAUGCUAAUCUUAUACUGCUUCAUCCGAGGGCCCAUAUUGCCCUUUAAUCUUAUCAUUUUUUUUUUUUUUUUUCUUGAAAUUUGCUAUUUGCUAUUUAUUUUUCUUCUAGUAGCAUUUACUGGGAAUCUCAUAUUGGAUAGAAAUAAAGAAUUUNGGUGUAAGAUUGUGGUGUGCAGCUAGCAUUUUUGUUGUUGUUGUUGUUGUUGUGGUUUUAACAUUUUUCUUCACUUUCACCCGGUUGUCUGUCUUUGUCUUUGUCUUUGUGUUUGUGGGUUUAGCACCUCCGCCCCUGGAAUGCCACCGGUUCCCAUGCGUCUAUUUCCAGUCCCCUUCGUGUGCUGUCGUCUAAUUGCUUUCCAUUGCUAUUAUGUAUUUUCUUUAUGGAAGAUUAUACUUUUCAAUUAUUUUGGUGGGACGACGGUACUCUUCACGCCAAAAGGCUGGCAAGUGUGAGAUUAGGGAUAAAAGGUAAAUAAUAAUUUUAAAAAACCAUAAAAAAGGAUAGCUCUGCUUCCCUCGGCGCGGACCACCGGCUACCCUCUAUCUUUUACUCUUCUUUUAUAUUUUCCUGUUCCCUGCUUGUUGCUCUCUGUCCAGCGUGACGGAUGACCCAUCACCGCAGGCUUGCUAUUGUGUGCUUGUGUGUUUUUUUCGGUAAUGUUAAAAGUGAUUUACGUCCCGAAGAAGAAUCUUCUAGUAAGACUGAGGAGAUAUACAAGAAUCUUCUAGUAAGACUGAGGAGAUAUACAAGAUCGAAUUCAUAUAUCCCCAUUCUACAGUCCAAACUACAAAGAUUGUUGGAAGGUGAUUCUGGUAGGUUCUCGUAGUAGUAACAUUUAUUUACUUAGACCGCAUUUGGUUCGAAUAUAAGUAAAAAUUAUUUAUUUCAUGAAUAGGUAGUGAAGGUUUAGCAAUCAUUAUACAUCAAAUCUUCUUAGAAAAUUCAUUCAGAAAAUCAUUUUCAAGAAAAUUGAUGAAUAAAAAUCUCUAAUUAAUAAAACCUUGGGAUAAUGACCCAAUAAAACGUCUAAAAGAACCCCCGGGAAUCUCUCCCUUUACAAAGAUAAGAACUGCCCGCCAUUUGCCCUUUAGGGCCCGUUUGGUUCGAGUUAUGUAAUAUUACAAAGUAUCUCGAUAUAUCCAGGUAUUUUGGAUUUCGGCGUGAGAUUACUACUAAUGCUGCAUUAGAGCGUUUGGUUUAAUACAGUAAUAUAAUACUAGAUUACAGUAUUUAUAGCAUUAAUAUGUUUUGUUCAGUUUAUAAAAUUUCGUAAUCCUGACAUAAAAGUAUAGUUUUUUCCAAAAUUGCCCUUGUUGUGGUCAUUUGAAUAUUAUUUUUUACGGAAAGGACGAAUGGAGGGAAGGAGAUCGUGAUGAUUACUUGGGAGGACGACGCAAUAGAAGAUGAUAGGUGUUCGUGCGAGAGAGAGAGAGAGAGAGAGAGAGAGAGAGACGUUGAGAGAGAGAGAGAGAGCGAGAGAAAGCGGCGUGCGAGAAAGAGGGCCGGGGGAAGGCGAGAGAGAUGAAAAUAAUGCUGUUAAUUAGAUUUUGGGUUGUUGGAGGGUAAAAUUAUUAUUUUACAUAAUAUGUAGUAUUAACGGGUUUCAGUAAUGCAAGAUACACGACCCCCCUCCCGUUAAUAUUUUCGAUGUAAUCCUGCUCGAUUUGUAAUGCUACAUUAACGACUAGAUUACAUAGCGGAUUAACCAAACACAGUUAUCCUGACAGGAUUGCCUGUAAUCCUGCCAGGAUAACUCGAACCAAAUGCACCCUUAAGGCAAAUGGAAUAAGGGCAAACUUCAGAUAUAAGCAGAAACUAGACCAGUUUUGCAUUUGGAAGAUAAUUGGGUUGUUCUUGAAAUAAAGUAAAUAGUUUUUGAAUGGUUAGAUUAGAAUAGAAGGAAUAAGAAUUAUAAUAUUAAAUUAAAAUAUUUUAUCUAACUAAUUAACAUCAAAAUAUUAAUUAAAAAUAAUUUAAUAAAUUAAUAAAUUUAUUAGCUAUCGAUAUUGUAUAGGAUAAUAAAAGUAUAUUAAUUAAAACAUUAAAUAUGAAAAAAUAAUUUAAUUUUUUAAUUAGUUAGUAAAUUAUUUUAGUUAGAUAACUAGUAAAAAUAUUAAUUAGAUUAAUAUAAAUAUUAAUGAUUGAUCAAUAUAAAUAUUAGUUUAUGUAUAAACAUAUUAAAUUGUUAAUAAUUAAUUAGCUAAUUAAUUAUAAGUAAUAAAUAAAUUAAUUACUUUAUUAUUUAACCAAUGAUGGAUAAUGAUUAAAAAAAAUAUUAAUUAGAUUAAUUAAUAAUCUAAUAUCAUAAUUAAAAUUAAAUUUAGACUUUAAUUAACCUUAUUUCCACCUACUUGAAGACAAGCUUGAUUUUGAAAAAGGAGUGGAAUAGCAGUUUUAGGUUUAUACCGAAUUAUAUCAGCUUAUUUUAGGGAUUCGAGAACUACUGCUCUCGGCUAUGAAAAUUUGCGUUUGGGAACAAAUGGGGGAACAAGAGCUUAUUCCUCCUUUGUUUCCGAACCAAAUGCAGCCUAAAUAUAUUAUCUUUAUUUAUUUAUGUUUAUUAUUUUAAAGUAUUUUUUAUAUAUUAUUAUUGAAAUAUGUUAUAUACUAACAUUGAAGUGUUUUAUAUAUAUAAUAAUAUGAUUAUAAGAGUAUUAUAUUAUAAUAUUUUUAAUUAUUUUAUAUUUUAUAAAAUAUAUUAUUUUUUAUAUGUAUUAUUGUACAUAUAUUAAUUUUUUAUACAUGAGAGAUAUAUAAACAAGGACAAUCUUGGUAUUUAAAAAAAAAUAAUCCACUUUUUCUACUAUUGUUUAUUAUUCUUAAUAAAAUUAUCGAAUAAUAUUUUUAUUAUCCUAAAAAAAUAAGAAAAUAUCAAAUUAAAUAGAAAAUUUUUUUUAUUCCUUUGUAUCCUAGAAUAAUA
RNAcentral lists this long non-coding RNA (55201 nucleotides) under Ananas comosus (pineapple). Its description in RNAcentral is "long non-coding RNA (ACOM_LNC001073)". Lineage: Eukaryota; Viridiplantae; Streptophyta; Magnoliopsida; Poales; Bromeliaceae. The record is from RNAcentral.